AGAAGCUCGAGGAUAAAUAUCAUUUCUCCUGCCAAUUUACAGCUGAUCUUUUCGCUAUGAACCAUACGGAUUUCAUCAUCACCAGUACCUUCCAAGAAAUUGCCGGAAGGUAGAUGUUUGGAUUCGAUAUUUUUUGUGUGAAAUGUUUUUCUCUAUAAACCGUUAACAUCGAUAUUCUUAUGAUUUCAGCAAGGACACUGUUGGUCAAUACGAGAGUCACACUGCUUUCACUCUUCCCGGUCUCUACCGUGUUGUUCACGGAAUUGAUGUGUUUGAUCCUAAAUUCAACAUUGUGUCCCCUGGUGCCGACAUGAGCAUAUACUACCCUUACACCGAGGAGAAGAAGAGGUUGAAGCAUUUCCAUUCCGAGAUCGAACAACUUCUUUACAGCAAAGUUGAAAAUGAAGAGCACUGGUGUGUGCUAAACGACCGCAACAAGCCAAUUCUAUUUACAAUGGCAAGGCUGGAUCGUGUUAAGAAUUUAAGUGGACUUGUUGAAUGGUACGGGAAGAAUGCUAAGUUGCGUGAAUUGGUUAACCUUGUAGUUGUCGGUGGAGAUCGGAGAAAAGAGUCCAAGGAUUUGGAAGAGAAGGCUGAGAUGAAGAAGAUGUUCGAGCUCAUUGAGAAGUACAAGCUGAACGGUCAGUUCAGAUGGAUAUCAUCCCAAAUGAACAGAGUUAGGAACGGUGAACUUUACCGUUACAUUUGUGACACAAAGGGUGCCUUCGUACAACCCGCAUUAUAUGAAGCCUUUGGGUUGACUGUCGUUGAGGCCAUGACUUGUGGUUUGCCGACAUUCGCAACUUGCAAUGGUGGACCUGCCGAGAUUAUCGUUCACGGUAAAUCCGGCUUCAACAUUGAUCCUUACCACGGCGACCAAGCUGCUGAGAUCCUUGUCGACUUCUUCGAGAAAUGCAAGACAGACUCAUCUUACUGGACCAAAAUCUCUGAGGGAGGUUUGAAACGUAUCGAAGAGAAGUAAGCACUCAUUUUCUUCAUUUCCUCGUUUCUUUUUGCUCAAGCCAACUCCUGUCAUUGUUCUUACAUACCUGCAAUGGUUCUGAUCAGGUACACAUGGAAAAUUUACUCUGAGAGAUUAUUAACCUUGACCGGUGUCUACGGGUUCUGGAAGCAUGUGUCCAACCUCGACCGCCUCGAGAGCCGUCGUUACCUUGAGAUGUUUUACGCUCUUAAGUACCGUAAGCUGGUAAUUCUCAUGCCCCAUUUCUUUUUAUCCAGUUUAAAUACGAAUGACUUGCAUUGUUAAUGUUUUUAUAACUGGUUUUCGCAGGCCGAAUCGGUACCUUUGGCAGUUGAAGAGUAAAUUGAAGUUGCCGGGGAAAGAAUUGGGAGGGAUUUCCGAGUUCUUGAGAAUAAUCUUUGUUGUUUUGGCAUUUUGAUCCAACUCUUUUGUUUUCUCUGUUCUUUUAUGUGUAUUUGUCUUUGUUCAUGUUUUGGGCAUUGUUUCAACAUCUGGGCGUUGAGCCCAUCAAUUCUAGUAAAGUAAAACAUGGCAACUUUUGCUUCACAUGUUUCAUCCCUUUUAUGCAACAAAUUAAAGCUUGCAUCAUAUAUGUAGAAGCUGAAACAAAUCGCACAUGGUGAGGCUUCGAUUAUCCGCAUACCAAAUCAGGCACUACAUGGUAUAAUAACACAUUUAGUCCUCAAUAUCUUUACGUUUAUAAAUUCUAUCAAUUUAAUCCUUAAGCUUUUAAACCAAAAUUUUCAAUUUUUGAAAACAACAGAGAACGGAUAAUUACUAUAACUUUAGAUUCAUACUCGUAUACCCAAUCCUUCAAGUGAAAAAUAUUCUAGCCAUAUAAAUAAUAUUAGCUCUGUUAGGUUAUAUGGCUUCAGCUGCAAGCAGAAAUCAUAAAAGUCAAGGUGUUAAACAAAAAAUGAUAAUCAAACCUAUGUUCAGAAGACAAUUAUAUCGAUUGGAUAAACACAGUAGGAAUGAGAAGAAGGGGCCGACCAAGUCAAUAACAUAAUUACGUAUGUUGAAUGACUAAAUUAAAUAAAGAAGAUAGAAUGGACAAUUUUCCUACAAUUGAUGUUGCAGCUUUUCUUGAACCUAAACUGCAUUUAUGUUGAAUAACUAUAUAUAUAUAUAUUCAGCAUUUAUUAAAUCCACAAACAACUAUAGUUAAUAUAUGUUGUCAAUAGUGAGUUUAACAGAUUGUCGGUGUUUGAAAUUAUACUUGUUCAUAUUCGAUCCGUCUUUGAAAAUGAUUUACAUAAAGUGUCGGAUACUAUAGGCCUUUAAUAAGCACACUGUUGAAUUUGUCUCUUUUAUUUAUAAAAAUAUAUAUAUAUUUAUAUAUUACAUAAUUUAAAUGAUUUAAGUAAUAAUUUAUUGUAUAUUCUUAAUCUUUUAUAUUCACGUGAGAUUUUAAAUUUUUAGAUAUUAAACCUGUAUCAUAUAUAGAAUUAAUCUUUAUAUGUAUAUAAAUAUAUAACAUAAAUGAAAUGGAGGUGUGUUUAUAUAAAUUAUGAUUAAAAUAUUAAAUAAUAUUUGAAAAAUAGAAAUGAUUGGGUCAAAUUUUUUGCACUAUUAAAAUAAAAUUUGACCCACAUAGUUGUUAAAAGCCAAAAUUUAGCAACUGUAUCAUUGAAAAGUUUGGAAAAAAAAUUUGUUAAUUAUUUUUUGUAUUUAUGAAAACAUUGUGUGGAAUGGUGGAAUGGGAGGGGAUCAACAUAUAAAUUUUGUUUUUUUAAUUUUAUAGAUGUGAAAUGUUCCUGUUUUAAAAGUUGAAAGUUUUGGUUAGGAGAUUUGAAGAUCAAAUUGAUAGAAUUUGUAAAUGCGAAGGGUUAAAUUUAUUGAAUUAUUUUGAAUUAGGAUCAAAUUGAUAGAAUAUGUAAAUAUUAGGCCUAAAUGUGUUAUUAUAUCAAUUAAGAAAAGGCUUUUAAUUAUCAAUUUAACAACGAGUGACCAAAAUAGGAACGAAUUUAAACGUUAAUGCCUAAAUUGAAAAAUUUUAAAAUUAGGUAACCGAUACAGGAACGUAGGCCUAAUUGAGUGAUCAUUUAUAAAGUUUACUGUUUAUUAUUUUUUCUUCUUUUAAUUUUUUUUAAACUAGAACAAAGAAGAACAUUGUGAUUGUAUUUGUUGUCAUGUUUUAAACUUAGUUAAGCUAAAAAGAUAAAAAAAAACAACGUAACAAAUUUCAAUUAAUUCGAUUAAUUGAUCGAUUUAAUUAAAAUUAAUUUGUUUUAAUUCAUGAAUUUUUUAAAAAAAAUCUAUUUAAUUAAUGAUUUAAUUAAUUCGAUUAAUAAGAAUUCAAUUCAAAUAAUAAUCUGACUAUUUAAAUUCCAUUAAGAAUUCAAGUGGAAUAUCUCAAUACUAGAUUAUUAGUACUUAAUUUAUUUAUUUACAUAUUUUUAUUGUUGGAUAUAGUUAUAUUGUAUAACUUUUUAUAUUUUUUCCAUGCAUUUUAAAAUUUAUAUCUAUAUACUUUUAUCUAAAUAUAUAAUGCUAAAUCACAUGCCAGAUGUGGAUAAUCAAUAAUUUGCUUAAUUAAUCACAUGCAUUUCAGCAUGAUUUAAAUCCUAACUCUCAAUAUAAUUAUAAUAAAACAUGUCAUAAUCCGACUUCAAGUUCAACCCGAAAACUCCAUAUAUAGAGAGAGAUAUCUAAAGACCCCUUUUGGGGGUGGCACUCCAGACAUUUCACUCUAUGAUUUUCUUCUUCUCUGUUUCGUCAUCAAAAAACCCUCCUCUCCUCCAUUUCAGUUGAUACGGUGUUUCAAAACUUACGUAUUUAUUUAUUUAUUUAUUUUUAUCUAUAUUUUUUGAAAACAUCUCGAUUCUUCUAUUGUCUUUUUAAAAUAUAUAUAUAUAGCAAAAUAGUAUCGUGUUCCAUACAAGGAAUCAACUUACAUUACCAUCCAAAAUCAUAUUUCCAAUUCUGUCAUUUUAAGUUGAUGUAAUAUGGACAAGGAAGAGAUAUAAAACUCAACAAAUUCAUGUCUUGUUGUCAUUUACACAACAUAAUUAUGUUUAUUAUUACAUAAAUUUUGAUUUAAUGAUUAUUAUUCGUAUACAACAUAUCCAAAUCCAUUGUUUUAUUGGAAACUAAUGGAACACAAAGCCGACAUAUCUUACUUAAUUACAAAUCAAACACUAAAUUCUUUCUAUCAUUCAAGGAAUGGAACUUUGUUCUUGUUUUUCCUUUUAUUUUUUUGACUAAAUUAUUGUAUUUAUCCUAUGUAUAUUGCGACUCUAUGAAUUUAUACCACAUCAAUCACUAACCAUAUUGUUUGUAUUGGUACUAGUUAAAUUACAUUUUGCUUCUUUUAUUAAAAAAAAUGAGCAAAUUAGUUCUUUCAGUUAAAAAUUUCAUCAAUUUCUAGGUUAAAAGCUGGCGUGAUUGACAACUAUACAAGUCCACACGGCAUGCAACGCGUACCUCAUAACUAGUGGCGAAAUUAGGGGGCCGGAAUUGAAAAUUUUAAAUUAAUAAAGGUAAAAUUACACUUUGGCCUCCUUAAAAAUAUAAAAAUUUGAUUUAAUCCUUUAAAAAUUAUAAAGAUAUAUAGUUUAUUAAAAUGGUGAAAUUGUAUUUUUUUUCUAUCGUAAAAAUGAUAACUUAAUCUCGACCACCUAAAAAAUUUUUCUGAUUUCGCCCUCACUCAUAACGACAUACGGGGUCAAAUUUUAACAAUAAAAAAUUAUUAAUGUAUUAGACUCUUUGCGCCAUGUGAAAUAUAGUAGCAUAAUAAAUAUAUAAAUAUCAAAUAUGAAUAAAUUGAAUAUAUCUAUUAAAGGGGGCUAAUUGAUUAAGACAAAGAUUAUGAAGUUGAUAACUAAAAGAGGGGUUGUUUAUUUAGGAUGGAAAACAAGUUAAGUAAGCAAUAUUUUGAUGAGAUAUUCACAUGGGAAGGGUAUGGGGUCUUGAUUUGAGGCUUAUUUUGAUAUGUUGAAUGGUACAUGUUUUCUGGGACAUCAUUUUGAUUUUGAUUCGUUUCCCACGUGUCAUUGCUCAAAUUAUUGUUUGCAAAAUUUUGAUCAUAUUACAAACUUUUAUCUUUAAAUUAAAAUUAUUUUAAUUUCCUAUAAUUUAAUUCUUAAUUCAAAUAGUUAAAAUUGUUUAUUAUUGUGUGACCUGAAUCUCGUCACUUGUUGAAGAAAUAAAUACAGUGACAAAAUAAGGAGAUCUGUGGGGGCAAGAGGCUGAGGACCAUAUCGCACAAGUUGAGCUCGUAUAGAACCAUACUUUUACUAUUUGACUUUGAUUAGAACAGGGUUUUUCGACCCUAAAAUAGACGUAGUUGAAACUCCUAUUAUAUCAUUCGUUUUUCAACAUUAGUAAAUUUCUUCUCCUCUGCCCGUGAUUUUUCCCUAAAGGGUUUCCACAUCAAAUCUGUGUGUUCUUAUUUUCUUUUCUUAUUGCUUUACUAUCGCUCUACCAUUAUUAUCGACGUUUGUUAUAAUAUAUAUAUAUAUCUAUAUCUAAUUUAUUAUGUUGAGAUGAAUAUUUUUAUAUUGAAAUUGGUGCUUUUAAAGUAAAAUAAACCACUUCUGUAUCUAAUCAUAAAUAAUUAAUAGUAAGACUAAAACAUUAAAAACAUAAAAUCAAUUAAAGUAAAAUGAUUAAAUAUCAAAUUUGAGAAUAGUGAAAUGAUCCCAACCAAUUAAAAAUUGUUUAUUUAUUUAAAAUUUUCCAGUAUAAUACUAUAAAAAUGUAAUUAAUGUGUUAUUUUCUUGAAUUUAGUAUAAACAAAUUGAAAUUUCUAGAACCUUUUCUUUUAUAAUUAAUAUAUUUAUAUAAUUAUGAUUAAAGUUAAUUAUUAUAAUAUAAUAGUUUAAAUUAAAAUAAAAUAUUAAUAAAAAAAAUUCACACAUAAUAUUUAUAUCUAAAAUAUUAGUAGAGGAAAAAGAUGGACCCUUUUUUAUACUUUUGCUACUAUAAAUACAAAUUAAAUACAAAAGUUUCACCUUCCACAAAUACAAGGAUCAAAAUCGAAUAAUAAUAAUAUGUAGUAAAAAUUAAUUUCAUAUUAUAUAUUUUAUAAUAAAUUGUUUUAAUCAGUUAAAUAAUAAUUUUAAUUACAUCAAAUUAAUCGAAUUAUAAAAACCAUGCCAAACCCAUCAUGCCAAUGAAUAAUUUGACUUGAGAGAUUAAGUUGAAAUUAGACUUGAUCAUGGGUCAGGUUAUCUUCUUAGGCUCGAAGGUUCACUCUGAAAGUGAGGGUAUUUAGGUAAAAAUAUAGGCUCGAGAAAUGGGCUUAGACAAAAAAUAAGGCCCGUUUUUUAAAUGAGUCAAACCUCGGGUAAGAUUUUUUGGCCUGGCCCAAAUUUGCUUACAUUUUUUUCGCUUUUAUUUACUGCUAUUUUACUAUUGUUUGCUACUGAUUUGUUAUCAUUUUGCUACUAUUUUGCUGUUAUUAUUUGAAUAACUCUUAUUUUAUUAUUAAUUUUACUGCUAUUUUGCUAUUAUUAAUCUUGUUUUGAUGUUGUUUUAUUAUCAUUUUGCUAUUAUUUGAUGUUGGCUCGAGUUUAACAUUUUUUAUUUGGGUCGAACUUGGACAAAAUUUUAGACUCAUUUUCAGGCCAGACUGAACCCAGACCUAGAAAACGAGUUUGAAAUUUUGGAUUAGCCUAGCUUGAACCCGGCCCAACUCAUAAUCAAGUUUAGUUCCAACUCAAAUUUUAUUUCAUAUAUCAAAUUAAAUUACAAUCCAGUAAUUUCUUUUUAUUUCCAAGCUCAGUUCACUAUUAAAAAUUAAUAUUGAGUCUAAACAAAAAAAAAAAAGUUUUGGCUACUUAACUUCAAAAAGUUACAAAUGAUCAAUUUAUUAUUCGAAAGUUUGUAUUUAAGUACUGGGUUGUUAGCUUUUUUUUCUUUCUUUCUUUUAAAGUCCGGCUAGCAAAAAGCGACAAUUCGAUGAUUAGUAUGAUAGAUCAGCACCCAUCGACGAGUAGAAGAAUAUACUUUAGAUCCAAAUCGGUUUGACGAUCAAUAUUGGAGAUUAGAGAUGAAAGCUAUUUGAAUUUUGGUCACAGAUUCGUGGCAUUCACAUACAGUUGUUUCACAGAGAAGGUUAUACAAUAACGAUUUUAACAAGCUAUUGAUAUAAAUGAAAACUUUCGAAUAGCAAUAACCAUUUUAUAACUUUUAAAAAUUGAGUGACCAAAACAUAAGCUUACUAAUAAUUUAACGAACUUAAUUAAUUGAUUGUAUUUUACCCGUAUUUAUUUACUUAAAUAAUAAUUUAAAUCAAAUUCAAUUCAGUUACACUUUUUUGUAUGAACUCAACCCAAUAAAAUGGAAGUGGUGGAAACUAUAGCCAAUCGAGUCGGGCGAGCUACUCAGCUUAAUUUCACAUAUAACAAAAAUGAUUAUAAAGUGUUAAUAUUUUAUAAUUUCCAUGGCAGGUGAGGGUAAAUGCCAGUUUCUAACUAGAAAAAUGAAAAAGGUUGAGAGUAAAGUUGAUAUAUCAAACACUGGAUUAAGAAUCUUCUGAAAGAAUAAGAAAAUAAUUAAGAAGGGGAUCAAUAAAUUUGGAUUUAACUCAACGUAUUCGAAACCCUUUUUCCACACUCUUGCACAUGUCUGACGUUAUCAUCUCACUAUUUUCUUCAAUAAAAAUAUUUAACAUUAAUUAUAUUUUUUUAUAUUAUUAAAGCAAGCUACAUCGAGAAUUCAAGUAUUGUAUACGUCAUUAAUCCGAUCCUUUGUAGAAACUACCUGUAAUAACGAGUUUGUAAAAUGGGUCUAUUUAUCAUAAAGAGAAUUGUUGCUUCUGAUAUUGCUUCACCUUAAUAGUUAUUUGAAUAAGUUAAAGUUAUGGAAUUUUGAGAACUCAUUCGUAUACGUCAGGAGUCCAUUUGAUAUUGUUCAUGAAAAUUAAUUCUUUCGAGAUUCUGUAACUAUCUCUUCCAACAAUAUCGUUUCCAAGAUUCGAACUUGCGUUCUCUCUUGAAAAUAUAAUAUGUCUUACCACUGUACUCGACACUUGAUUAAUAUAAUUACAUAAAAAUAUUUAACAAUAUUAUAUAAUUACAUGUAUGGUAAUCACGAAACCUUUGAUUCCAUAUAUUAUAUUCUAGUGAAGUCUUGUUCUUGAAUUUAUUAUCCUAACUAUAUCUUCUUUUAAAUUACGAUAUUUAUGUGUAUUCUAAAUUUUGUUUUGAAUAAUUUUAAAACAUAAUCGAACCUAUAUCUUCCUGCAUUGAUAAUAAGGCUCAUACCAAUUAAGCUAAAACUCAAUCGACAUGUGUAUUCUAAUUCUAAAUCUCCUAACAUUUUAUUAAAUUCAUAUAAUUUAUAUAAGAAACCAUAUUCUCUUUUAAUUGGUUACAUUAGUGGUGAUUUCUUUCUUUAUAAAUUAUCUUUUUGGUGGUUGAAUCAUUUGUUCUAAAAGAUGCACACAACAACCUUCUAGUUGGUAAGUAAAAUUUUAAGAACCAAAUAAAGACAAAAGCCUCUCACUCAUUCUUACCUUCAUUCUCUAAAAAAUGAUUCCUCUUGUGGCACAAUCCCAAGUGUAAUUGGAGGUGGUUAUACCUAUUCAUGAGUAAUAUUAUUUCUGAUUAGAUUAGUGUUGUUGGAAUUAAAUCUGAUUAACUCAUCGUAUCAUUUGAAUCGAAAAUUGGUUAGUAUAUCAGUUCGAAUAAAAAAUUAAAUUAAUUUUAAAGUAAAUUGUUUUAGAAUAUGUUCAAAAUAAAAAAAAAAUCGAGAUAAAAAAAUCGGUGGUUGAAUUGAUUUAUAAUUUUUCUAAUGAUUUUAAUUUUCUAUUAAUUUUUCUGAAAAUUUUAAUUGUUCAUUUUAUAAUUAUUGGAUGGAUAAUCAAAAUUGGUAGUUUAACUUUAACGUGGACCGGACCGAUCAACUUAAAACCUUUCCCCAACUCCUUUAUAAACGAGCCGUCUUCCUCUUUUCUUAGCUCACAAGCACCCUCUUUCUCUGCUACGGCUCUCCAAAAACUCUUUGGGAAACCCUUAAACCUCUCCCCCCAUAAGAAAAGCAAUGGCCAAAGGCAGCAACAAGCUAACCAAGCUCUUAUCGGUUCUAAAGAAGCUUAAUUCAUUCAACAGCAAGCAAAGCCGCACCCCCACGUCAACCGCCGCGGUGGCGGCUUCCGAUAUCAUCUACAACGAAGAAAGCUCUGCCGAUCUCCACCCUGUCUACGUUGGGAAAUCCCGUAGGCGGUACCUUAUUAGCUCCGACAUUAUCGACAACCCUUUGUUCCGGGAGCUCGCCGAACGGUCCGGUGAAGACGAUGACGCCGUCAUCAACGUGUCGUGCGAGGUGGUUUUGUUCGAACACUUGCUUUGGAUGCUCGAAAAUGCUGAUCCUCAACCCGAGUCUUUGGAAGAGCUGGUUGAGUUUUACGCUUGUUGAUGGUACGGACCGUAAUUCGUAAGUUGUACAUUGAUCAUGUAAUAAUAAAAUGAAAUUUAUAGGCGAUGUUAGAAGAUAAGAGAUGAGUUAGUUUCAACGACGAGGAUUUAACCGAGUUCUCGCCGGCAGCCUGGUGGUGGUGGGGGAGAUGACAUUUUGUGUAUCAUUGUUGUUUCAUUGUCGUUUAAUCAUGUUUCUUUUUCUGAUUUAUACAAGAGAUUAAUAUUUCAUUUUUCUUAUGAUGUCGAAAUCAUAAUCACUCAAUCCUUGGGUGAAAAAAAAUCUUAAUCCAAACUUAAUUUAAUAAUGCUUGAAAAAAAGAGAGUAUAUUACAGCAAAGCUUUGGGCUCCAGCGGCUUUCGUGUUUGUCUUCCAGAUUUGACGAUGUCUUGAAUACAAGAAUUUUUCGAAAAGAAUUAUUAAAGUGUUGGGGUUUGAACUUCAAAAGCCGUCAUUUCUUUUCGUGAUUGUGCGUCCAACUCGAUGAAGCCCUCUCAUUUUAUGAAUUCAUCAUAACCUGUUAAGAUAUUUGGACUCAAUAAAUUAUAAUAUUAAGGUUCAAAUGACCAAUGAUGGGGUUGUUAGAGAUGCUUUGUUUUUUUAGAUAGACAGUGUUAGUUCCGUUGCUUUUCGUUUGCUGACAAUAGGGGUAUCAGGUUUGUGUGUAUAAAAUAUAAAAAAGGUGAAUUAAAUAUAUGUAUGAGAGCGGUGGGGGAAGAUUUUGGUAAGUGGAAGACACGAAAUCCUUUCUUCUUUUAACACGCAUUAGCAUCGACGCGUUUGCCAAGCUGCCAUGGCCAUGCCACUCUUAAAACCUUCAAAUCUGCUGCUUAUUUUUCCAUUUUUCGAAUUUUUUUAUUUUUAUAAAAUAUUUUGCUCCUUACCUCUGUUGUUAUAAUAAAAUUGUUUCUCUAUCUGGGCUACUAACUUAAGCUUUUAAUAAGUUUCGUUUAUGUUGAGUUCAGAUCACUUGAAUGUGACGUUUUUGACAAACCUAGAAACAUGAGUCGAGUAGGGUGAUAAGACUCCUAAUCAAAUUGCCUGAAGUGAUUAGAUAAGCUUGAAAGUUUUUUUUUUUUUUUUUAUCUCUUGAGAGAGUUUUGGAGAGUUUGAAGAUAGAUUAAUGAAUAUUGUUAUGUGAUAAAUACUUAGGAUAAUUAGCCGCUUGAAGAGGCCUAUAAAUAGGUUGUUUUGUGCUGCACAUCAAGAAUAGUUUUGGACUGUAUUUGUCGACAGCUUUGUCGUGUUCUUAUGAUUAUUUUGUGACACUUUUUUUUAUUGUAUUGUGAGGUAUUUGAUUAAGUGAUUUGUGACAAUUGGAGUUGCAAUCACUUCUUUGUGUAAGGGUAGACUGGCUUAAGCUAAUAGAUUAUUCGAAUGGUUAUUGAAGAAAAUCAUUCAUAAGACAAGAUUUCAUGAACGUAAUACCGUUGUGUCUAAAUUGUGUUAACAAAGACUAGUUAUGUCAAUUCUUUUCGACUCUUAUUUUUUUUGCUACUUGUUUUCGUUUUAACUGUUGUUACCCCAAAUGUUAAACAAAGUUGAUUUAUCAUACCUAAAGAGUUGAAAUUAAAAUUGGUUUUGUAUUACUAUUACCAAGUCCCUAAUUGAGUUGGUGUCACGAGCCAAUUGGACACGAACUCAAUCAUGGAACUUACGAAAAUGUCCUUACAUAAUUAAAAAAAAUCAUAUUAUUCAAUGGUAUUUUAGUUUUUUUUAAUCCAAUACGAAAUUUGCAUGUGGCCUGUGCUAUUUACAUUAAUAAAAUAUUAACUUUGCCAUUAAACCAAAGUUUUAUUUUAAUAUAAUAUUUUCAUUUUAAUUGUAUUAUGUAUAUUUUAUUACUUCCUCCAAUUGUAUAUGUUAAUAAUGUUUUUGAUUGAAUUGUUGUCAUAAGUCAACUCAACACUAACUCAAAAUUGACGAAAACAACAUGAUAAACAAUUGUACGUGUUUAAAUUCAUUUUACUCAAUUUAAUUUAUUUUUUCAUUUUACAUGUGUAAUAGAAUUUCUACACGCGUUGUACUUUUCAAAAGAGAAUUCAAGUUUAAAACUUGACUAUACUUCAUUAGGAGAACUAUAUAAAAUUAGUAGUUUAAUUUAAGCUUUUUUUUUAAAUAUAAUUAUAUCAACAAGUAAUUAAAAUAAAUAUAUUAAAUGUUAUUAUCAGAAUCAAUUAACUCAACUCGAAUUAACUCGUCUAAUUUAAACUAUUAAAAUUUGAACCUCAAACCUCAAUCUUACCCUUAAUAACAAUCAUUUAAGACAAAUAAACCUAAUUUGAAUAUAUAUGUCUAAUUGUGUAACUUGCUUUUUAACAUGUACCCACAUUGAUUUUAUUUAGACCAAUCCCUAAUUACCAACCACUUUUACUUCAAUGAUGAUUAUAAUGUUGAAUACUUUUUUCUUUUUGUAAAAUAUUAUCCUUACAAGAAUUCGUUUAGAAUGAUGAAAGGAUAUUAGGGCUGAUUAAGUUUGGUUUCAUUAAAGCUGUGAAUAUUUUAUUGUACUUAAAAUCAUUCAUAUAUAGUCUCUUUUAAAUUUAUAAAUAAGAGAAUGUUACGUUUUUGUGCAUUCGAAUUCACGUUAUCUUACAUUAAUAAUAAUACUCAUGUCAAUCGAAUUAAAACUUAAUCAGUAAAGCUGUGAUUAUUAAAAUAAAAUUAGAAAUUAAAAACUGUUUUCCAAAGAAUUAUUUAGAUUACAAAUUAAUAAAAAUUAAAUUUAAAAAUACAUGGUGUUUUAGUAUUUAUCCACAAAAAUUUGGAAAAAAAAAAGAAAAAAAAUGAAUGUUUGGAAUCCAAGUAAUCCUUAUCACAAAUAAAGUACAUGGCAGCUGCAAGAAUGAUUAUUGUUUUGACUUUUGACGUAAUAUUUCCCAAUUUUAGAAAGAAGAGAAGGUAGAGUUUUAUGGCAGAUUAAGUAACCAGGAAAAUGUAAAUUUGAGUAUAUUAAAGUGUAUUAUUCUCUUAUUUAUUAAUUAGAAGAUUAUAGAUAGUUUUAGAUAUUAUAUCAAAAAUAGUAAAUAUGAUCAAAAUUUAUAAUGAGAUUAUUAAAAAUAAAUAAAUAUUUUAUAUUGUGAAAUGCUAAUGUAUGUGUAUAACAAUUAUAAACAAUUAUCUGAUUAACUGAUCUAACAUUGGUGAAAUUUAAAAAAAGAAGAAGGUCAAUCGUAUUAUUUAUUUUUUAAUCAAUCGAUAUUUUAUAAUAUAUACAUUCGAAUUUAAUUUUGAAAAAUUAUUUAAUAUAUCGUCAGUAAAGUAUUUUAGAUUCCACAAACGGAUUAAAGGUUUGACAAGUGUAUUAUAGGGUGUAGUAAAAAUAAAUAAAUUAUAUAAAUAAAUACGACACUUAUCACACCCUCAAUCCGUUUGUGGAGUCUAACAAAAUCACCGAUGGUGUAUCAAAUAAUUACUCUUUAAUUUUUUUUAAAGAAUUCUUCAUUAUACAUUAUACAUUAUACUAUUAAUUCUUUUAUUUUAAAUAUUUUUAUUAUUUAUCAAAUUUAUAAAUAAAACUCGAGUAUUCAAAUAUUUGGUUAAAUGAUUUCAAUCGACAAAAAAAAUUAUCACACUUAUAAAUAAUUUUAUUAAAAAAGAUUACCUUAAACGAAUAAUCAAAUUUUGACAUUUAAAAAUUAAACUAAUAUAUUAUUUAUUUUUUACUUUUUAGAUUAAUGAAAAAUUAGUACUUUAAAGAUAGGUAUUUAUUUUCUUAUUUAUUAGCAAAUAAGUUAAAAUUUUUUUAACAAAUUUAUUUACAAAUGUGAUCAAUUUUAUUAUCAAACAAGUUGAUUCAACAAAAUAUGUUAUGAUAUUUAUUUAUAAAUGUGGCAAAUUCUUUAAAUAAUAAAAAUACUUUGAAUCAGGUUCAGAAUGAACCUAAAUGAAUUGUAGUCCAGGCUUUUAGUAAUUUAUAUAUUAGGAUUUUUAUGAUUUUUUAUUUUUUAAAAUAUCUUUUAAUAUUCUAAACUACGUUCAUAAUGAAUAUAGAUAAAUGGUUGUUCAAGUUACAUUUGUCUAGCUCAUUUUGGACAUACAUAUUUUAGUCAUGGAUUCGUCAAGUUCAUUACAAGGAGCUUUGUAUGCUGACAGGAUUGCGAGUAUAACGAGUUAAUUGUUAUUUUAGUCGCUUAAAUGCUAUUAUUUUCUAUCAAUUUUUUUAAAAAAUAUUGAUGUGACAUGCCACAUGUUAGAUUCUCAACCAUUUCACUGUUCGUUAAUGGUCAAACCAGCCAAUGACAAUUUUUGUUAAUGGAACGACCUAUUUGAUCUUUUUUUAACCGCUGCCUUAAUUGAGUGCAUUUUGUUUAAUUAAUUUUUAUUUUUUUAUAUAAUUUUUUUACUAAUGGCUUUGUAAUCCUUUUGACUUAUAUAUUAAUAUUUAAUAUAUACAAUUUUAUUAAAAAAAUACAUUUACUUUCAACAAACAUUUUUCAUCCCAUGCACCUGUUUAUGUUUUAAAUUGAAAAUAAAAUUAAAAAAAAUUCUAAGUAUCAUUUUAAAAUAAUUCUCUUAUAAAAAAUUAUUAUUUUAAAAUAAUUUAAAUAUCGAGUUAUGAGGUCUGUGUUACCAUGGAGAAGACUUGGUUGGCCUAUGAAGAAGUUAAAGAAGAAAAAGACAAAGCCCAGUUAGCUACCUUCCAUAAAGAGAAGGUCCAGUCUUCGGUGUUUGCGGGUCUUUAGGGAAAAAUGUAAUAAAAGCAACAAAUGUAGGGUAUGUUUGUCAUUUUGGCAUUGGGACUGAGUCAAGUCAGUCAACUCAGCCAUGGGGCUAUAGUAAAAUAGGGAGAUAGGGACAGCCCACGUGGGAGAUGGUCGUGGCAAUCGGAUUUUAGGGUUUUCAGUUGAUAGCUCCAUUCUUCCCAUCCCCAUGUUACUCCUAGAAUUUUUGUCCCCCCCUUUUAUAUCACUAUAUUAAUUUUGAUUUAACAUUGAAUUUUCACUUGAUGCAUGAAAAAAAACACAUCAUAAUAAAAGUUAUUAGAAAUAAAUAUGAUUAUUGUUAUAAUUUUGUACACCUUGUAUUAUUUAUAAAUAAUUAGAUUGAUUUUUAGCUUAGUUGUAUCGAUAUUGUUGUCAGUGUAGGAGGAUAUGAGCACUCGAAAGCAAGUUAUCCUCCUAUUCAAGAGUUAGAGAGAGAUUAUAAAUAGUUAUAGACAUUAUAUCAAAAAGAGAAAAUGAUAACAACCUAAAUUUUUAAAUUUAAAAUCCAAUCUAAGCUUUAUGCUUUGCCUAGAUCAAGGUCGCACCACACUCAACCACCAUGGUAAGACUAUUGCAUAAUCAAUAUACUUUGUACUUCCAUCGCAUCGAAUAACACAAUUGAUCUAAUGAGAGACUUAAUUGAAUGAUAGCUCGCAAAUUAAGAGAAGGUAUGUAGUUUAUGAGUGCUUUUCUCAAAUCUCUCACUAAACUCCAUAACAACGAACUAGCACAUUACCACUAAAAUAUACCUCUUCUCCCAAGGCUUCAAAUCUCUCUACAAUUCUCUAUGUUUCUUCACAUGGCUCUCGAUCUUUUAAAUAAACUCUCAUAUCAACCUCCUUUAACUUUUAUUUCUCAAUAAAAUCGAACUCUAUUAUAGCAAACAUUAUAUAUUAAUGUAAGUUGUAUGUUUAUUUCUUACUAAAAUCAUAUUAAUUAAUUAAUGUAUUACUGAGUGUAAGUUGAUGAUAAUGAUCCAAUAAAGAUUAAAGGACUUUUAUGAGAGUUUUGGAAUAUAUGUUUUUAAUUUUUCGUCCUAAUUAACUCUGAACUUGGCCUGCCAACCCUUGUCCAUGAAUUUGGUCUGUUGGUAUUAAAAUAAAAAGUACCACUAUAUAAUAUAAGAUAUUCAAGCAUAUAAAAGAAUGAUUUGAAGAAUGGGAAUUAAGACAAACAAUACCCACGAGGAGAGAAAAAGAGAGGUGCCCAUGAAUGGACCAUGCAUAUAUGUUUAGGGGACCAACAAAAUAUUUCUAUAUUCGUCAUAAUUGAUUGGCAAUUGAAGGACAACUGCAUUAUGAAGAUAGUUUAACAAAAAAAAGAAUGAAACAUAAGAAGGUGUCGAAAGUAACUUCUGAGGCCUGUUCCGAUGUAACAAUCAAUAAAGAAGAGUGGUAAGAUAUUAUAAAAAUUCAGAGAUGGCCAUUCUUCUGUAAUAGUUAGAAAUGAACAUUUGUGUGAACCCUUAUACUUAAUAUAUCCAUAUAAUAGGCGCUUUUAGAAGACACCAAGUGAGCACCUGAAGACGAUCCUCACUUCCCGUUCUAGCUAUGGUCAAGUCACUCGCUUUUCAUUGUGAACACUCUUCCAAGAUUAUUGGGAUCCACUUGAGCAUAAUAACCUCGUACUCCCUCAAAAAGAAUAAUAGAAUGGGCCCCAUCACAUAUAUCCCCCACGCAUUCCAUAAUGUUAACUGCCUUACCACGCCACCACUACCAAACAAAAGGACUUCCCCUAUAAAUACCUUCCAAAACGAAAGAAAAGGGACCUUCUCACCCUUUAGCAAUCUUGAGCACUUAGUACUCCAUGUCGGUCCUCGCAAUAACCUUCUUCCUCUUGUUUUCUUCUACUUUCCGCAUGCUUAAUUUAAUCGACCUCCUUUACACUACCACUUUCUUCUUUUUAUCUCCUCCUUUAUUGAAACUUGUAUAACACAAUUAAUACCUACAUUAUUGUAAUUCAAAUCCAUAUAUAGUUGACAUGAAGCAACUUGUGUAAUGUUGAUAAUGUUAUAAGGGCCCCGUUUCUCAUUGGAGGCAAAGAACAGCAAAAGAACCUGAUGAGUUGGAUACCAAAUUUUGCAUGUUAAAGUGAAGGCAAAGGGAUGUAUGAUGAUUUAUUUAUUUAUGGCCAUCGUUUUGUUAAAAUAUCCCAAUAUAUAUUUUGUAUAAAUAAGGCAAAUCCCUAACCAGUCUUUGUAUUCUUGCAUGGUAUAAGUGUAAUAAAAUACUAUUUUCAAAGCAAAUCUUUGAUUGUUUGAUCUUCUUCUUCUUCUUUUAAAGAUCCAUCAUUUUCAGAGGUGGAUCAACAAAUAAAUAAAUAAAAUUUGCUUUUGGGACUAAAAAAAAGUUUUUGAAUGCAAAGCAUAGGUCUCUUUCAACAAAUAUUGUAUUUUUAAUUUUGCACACAAACAAUAUAUAUAUGUCCAAUAAAAUCCAAAAGUAGAAAAACCAAUUAAACGACAUGACAUGUGAUGUUCUCAAGUAUGACAUAUAUAUAUCCCCACGAUUCCACCAUGUAAAACUAUGGGUUCUAACAUCAGAAACAAAAAAAGAAGAAGCAAUUUUGUACAAAAAAGAAAGCAAUUAAUUAAGUACCCAUGCAUGAACAUCUUGAUGGAAAUGUUGAAGCUAAAGACUCAUAAUUGAGCCCAUACAUUAGAGAGAGAGUAACCGAUCAGGAGGAGUGGAAGUAUAAAACUUUUUUUUUGGUUUAAAAUGUAAUUUUAUCAUAUGUAAAUUUAGUAAUAUAAAUUGUAAAUGUUGGGGUUUUAAUUGUCAUUGUAUUUGAAGUUUCUCCUCAUGUUCAAAUAACUCCUUAAACAACUGUCUGAAUAGAUUUUUGGACAACAGUAUGGAUAUACCUUCGGAAUAGGUAAGUGCAAUAUAAAGUUCAAAUUUUUUAAUUUGAUCUUCAAAGUGUGUCAUACCAUCAGCAAAUGAUCCUUAGGCUAUGUUUUAUUCUAUCCUUAAUGAUAUUGAUCGAAUUUAGAAGUAAAGAGGAAAAAGGAUCGCUUUUCAUCGUCUCAUACCUAAUCUUAUAAAAAAAAUACCGUUGUGCUUGUGGGAGUACUUUUGACCGGUUAUUUGAAUAUCUUUACUUGGUAUUUUUGCACUCUUGUUUUAGACAUUUUAUUUCAUUGCCAUUUUGAUUUGUAUGUGAGAUUUUGAGUGAGUGAUUUGUAAUAAUUGGGAUCAUUGUUGACCUGCAAUUAUUUCUUGUGUAAGAGUAGAUUAGACUUAAGCCAAUAAGUGAUUUGGAUGAUUAUUGAAUAAAACCAUUCAUUGAGCAGUAGGAUUGUUGAUCUAAACUGCGUUAAUAGAUCUCGUUUGUUGACUUCUCUCAUUGCUUUACUAUCUGUUUAUAAACUGUUGUUAAAUUGUCCUAUUCAAACUUGUGUCUAAACAUCAAGUUGGACAGAGGGUAAACCGAUUUUUACUCUUUCAAUAAUUACACAACCAUAUAAUUUUAAAUUCUAAAAAGAAUAUUAAUUACUAUAAAAUCAUAUCAUAAUAUGUAUUAUGUUAGUAUAAGAAAGUAUUCAACAAUACAAUUACUAAUAAAAUUAAGGCUUAACAGUGUAAAAGCCCUCAAACUUUUUCAAAAAAGCAAUUAAGUCCCUGAUAUGUUUUUUUAAUUCAAUUGGGUAGUUCCAAUUAAAAAAUUAAAAAAACCCGAUAGACCAUCCUCCAAGUAUAUCUGUAGUUCCAAGUCUCGUCCUCCAUUGGAGAUAAAUAGAGGUCUUACCUACACUAGGACCGCCUCCAGUUGAUAUUAUGCUUCCCCAGUAGUUGGUAAAGCUUUCCUUUAUUUUGAAGGCCAUCAACUAACUUGAAUGAAAAUACAAACAGGAUGUAACAUAAGAACCCCAAAAUUCAUAGAAGCAUCGUAGAACAUCUCCAGAAACUUGAGUAACGUACGUGCCUUGUUCCAGUCAUCAAGGGUGGGAGCCCCUUCUGCAAGAGCAUUUAUAAAUUUUGGAUCAUCCUCUCAAAUGUAUUCUGAAGAGCCAGUAUGUUGAAUUCCAUCCUUAUUUAUGUCUUACAAUUUUGUGAUUUUUUUUAUUGAUUUUAAUAUAUAUUUUUUAUCAUUUAGUAGUAGCCAAAAAUGUACAUGGGUUUGGAAGCAAAUGACGCCAUAGAAAUUUUGUAGAAUCGACCUUUGGUCUUUAUAAAGAUGGGUUUGGAAAUAUAUAUGGGCUAUAAGAUGAAAUCAUUCAAAUUUGUGGCUUAAUCACAAACUUUGUAAAGCCCAUUUUAUUAUUCGUAACAAAAAAAAUGAACAUGGGAGUCACUAAAUCAACAUUCGAGUCCGAAGUUUAGGUGAUUUGAAAAUAGAUAAUAAAAGAUUAAAAAAAACAAAUAAGAUUAGUUUGAUAAAAGAGACGAUUUUGAAUUCAACAUUUAAGACGAUUCUUCAUAAUUAUCUAGAUAUUAAAAAUGUAAUACUUACCAACAAAGCUUGGGUUCGAGGAUAAAAAUUAUUGAAGGGAUUUUUGAGGUUUUAAUGUUCAAAUUUUCUCAGAUGAGUGAGCCAUUAAUCCUAUCCCAUAUAAUAUGCUAAUGAUUGGUUUAACAUAAAAUUAAUAUUUGAAGUUCAAAAAAUAUAACACUUUUUUUAUCAAUACAAAACAUUACUAAUUAAAGAAAGAAUGUUAUCACGAAAGCUUAAUCCUAAAUCUCAUCUAUCACCUCUUCCUUAUCUUAUAAUCACCUAUCAUUGUCCAAGCUUCACCUGACCUCAAAAGACCAAACGUACCACUUUUUCGUCUUCUUUUCUCAUGAGAGAAGUACUCUCUUUUUUGAGAGUUCAUGAACAAUAAAAAAAAAUUCAUCUUCUUGAAAAAGCUACAAGUUUCUCCUUUUUUUCACUAUGCUUUUAACACCAUCCAACCUUACGACUCUCCACUCUUCAAUAAUGAACGGUGACUAAAUUCUUAAUCUAAAACUUGUAUAAACAAAUAUAAAAAAUAAAAAUAAAAAAUUCAAGCCUACACUCUCUCAACAUUCAUCCAGUCCUCUGCCUCUAAACUCUCUUCAUCAUCGAUUAGGUGGACCGAGCUCCUCAGCAACCAUUCUCCUCUCCUCUAUACUCUCUCCUUAUUGAGCAUUGUAUCAACACCCCAUAACCAGACUCUUCAUCCUUCUUUACUCCCUUCUCCCUCUCCCAACACUCUCUCUUCUGUCUUUCAUCGUAUCCCAAUUCUCUCCAAAUCACCACACUCUCUAUUUCAUGGCAUUAAGCACUCUUUCUCUCCUUCUCUUUCCAUCCCUUCUUCCUCUUUCAAGUCUUCCAUUUCUGCCAAGGUACAUUCUUCUUUUUAAUUGGUUGAUUUGAUUGGCUAACCGCCCUCAGUGUUUGCUUAUGAUUUUUGGGGGGUUUUGCAGGUCGAGAAAGGUUUAGUGCCUCCAAUAUUCACGCUGAAAGAGCAAGAUGGGAAAAAUUUUAGCCUUUCCAUGUUAAAAGGAAACCUGUUGUCGUCUAUUUUUACCCUGCCGAUGAGAUCCCUAUCUGUACCAAGCAGGUGAUUGCUUUAAAAGCCUUUGUUUACCAGCUUUAAACCUGAGUCCAUGUUGUGUCGUAUCCGUAUUCCGUGUUUUGCGCUGAAAAGCAGUACUUUUUUAGGCAUGUGCUUUUCGAGAUUCUUACGAGAAAUUUAAGAAAUUUGGAGCUGAAGUUAGAGGUUUGCAAAAUUCGGGUAAAACUGAAAAAAUUCGGUUAAUCGACCGAAUUCGGUUAAUCGGUCGGUUAAUCGAAUUUUUUCGGUCAGGGGUCGGUUAAUUAUUUUUUGAUUUUUCGGUUAACGGUUAAUUCAGUUCGAAACCGGUCGGUUAACCGAAUUUUUUCAGUUUAACCGAAAAAAUUAAUAAAUAAAAUUAUAAUAUAUAUAAAUAGCCUCACUAUUCAACUAAAUCCAAUCCAAAACCAAGUAUUCAACCCAACCCAAUUACCCAACCCAACCCAACCCAAUCAUAAAAAUUACAAAUAAUUUAAUAAAUAAAAAUAAAAUUCUAAAGCUAAAACUAAAACUAAAGUCUAAAAAUAAUUUAAUUAUGUAGUGAUUCAAUUUGGUUAAUUCGAUUAAUUCGAGUAAUUCGGGUAAUUCGGGUAAUUCAGUUUAUUUUUAACCAAAAAUAAAAAACAUAUAAUUUUCGGUUAAUUCGGUUAACCGACCGAAUUAACCGAAAAAAUUUCGGUUCAGUUAAUUUUUUUGAAAAAAUUUCGGUUCGGUUAACGGUUAAAGAUUUUGAAAAGUCUGUUAAUUCGGUUAAUGUUAUUUCGGGUCGGUUAACCGAAUGAACACCCUAGCUGAAGUUGUUGGAAUAAGUGGUGAUGAUCCAUCAUCACUCAAGGUAAUAAUAAUACUAAUAGUGUCCAACACACCCGAGUAUCAUGUAAAAUCCAUCUCUUUUGAGAUCUUCUUCUGAAAACAAAGUCAUCUAUGGAAUCUGAAUUCUUAUUAUGUGUGAUCAUUAGAUAUUCUAUUUGUCUAUGUGAAUUUCUGAUGGUGCUCCAUACUGGAUACUUGUUCAUGUUAUACCAUGUCCACCGACCGAUGUUCGUAAAUUAACCGAUGAUCAGCUUGAUUUUUUCAUAUGGUAUUUUGCCAAGAGAUAUGGACUUCAGUUUACGUUGCAGAGCGAUGAGGGAAACAAGGUCAGGCAAGCGUGGGGAGUAGAAGAGGUAAAAGGGCAAACCCCAUAGCCAAUAAUGUGGAACAGUCCAAUGAAGUGUCCUUACCACCAUGGUGCACGGUUGCCCUUCGGGUCCUUCAUGCAACAUGGGAAAUCAAUAUCUUUCUAAUCAUUUUCAAUAUUCACUAAAGAAAAUAAAUCAAUUUCCGUGCCAACUCAUGCCAUUGUCAUCUCUAAUAUUAUUGAGUGAACCACUUACCAGCUCUGGUCUUAAAGUCAAAGUUAAAUAAUAAAACCCUAAUGCGACACAUGCAGAAAUUAUUAUUAUUGACUUUCAAAGGCAAAGACGAACGUUCAUGUCUGUUCUUGAUUUGUUCGUCCAUUUCUUCAAUCAUAAAAGUCUAAAUUGUGUUACUAACCCUACAAAUAUAUAUUAUGAAGAUGCAGUCAUGCAGAAUCCUUAAUGCAUUUGAAAUCAUAGUUUAAUUUUGUUUAAUCAAAGGUAAAUACACUUCUUUGCUACAAACAAAGAAAAGUAUGACGAUUUCAUUUUCCCAAUUUUUGGUUUAGUGGUGUCGAAACCAUUUUUUUAUAUUUCGAAAAAAGGGAUCAACUUUUAAAAUAAAAACGGGAGUCACCAUCGAUCUUUUAUUGUGGUGUGAUCGGAUCACCUUGAAAAUAAUUUUAGGUCUGCGAAUUUUGAGAAAACAGGUUCGGGAGUCGGUUACGCACGAGGAAGGGUUAGCACCCUCGUGACGCCCAAAAUUAGUACCGAAUUGAUUGUUUAAUAUCUUAGUGUCGAAAUUUUGAAAAGAUCUUAAAGUACGAUUCUUUUAACUUGAAUAAAUUGAAUAAUAAAACACUCUUAUUUCAAAGAAAUAAAUCGUCACACUCAGUAAGUUAGAGUGUAACAUUUCAAAUCCUCAAAAUUAUGUUUGACUUUUAAAAUCUAUACAUCUUGAGAAGGGUAUUUGAUUAUUUGGGUCAAAUGAGAAAAUCAAAACCUAGUAAGUUAGGGUUCGAUUUCACAAAAUACCUAAAUAUCGAAUAUUGCCUUUAUUUCCAUUUGUUAGAAAAAUCCUCGUCCCGGGAAAACAACAUGUCCUACCCAAUGCGUUAGGAUACAACGUAUCGAAUUCCCGAGAAUGGGCUUUUUAUUUAUGUUUUAAUAAAAGAAACACAUGGCUAUCUAAUUCAUCGAGACAAAUUGGAACCCAGUAAGUUAGGGCACAAUUCUCUCGAGAAUUAUAAACGCUUGGCCCCCCUUUUUUAAAAUUAUGAAAUAAAAAUGAUUUUUGGGGUUUUAGUGAAACCGAAUAUUUAAAAAAAAUGCAAUGGGAUGUUAACAUAUAACGCAAAACAAUAGGCUAAAGUAUACUAAUAAUCAUCGAUAACCAAUAAAUACGAAUAAAUAAUAUAAUACAUAUGCGGGCAAAAAUAUCAAACACACAUCAUGCAAACACGAAUAUCAACAUUCAAAAUAAAUACUAUAAAAAGAUAAAUCAAAAUGCAUUAAGUCAUGUACAUAUAUUAAUUUAAAUAAAUAGUACAUAUAUAAUAAUAAUGUAUAUAAAAAGAGUAAAACAGAAUAAUUAGUUUAGAAAGAAUAAAAUAUUUGUGCAUAUAAAAAUAAAAUUAACGAUUUGAUGUUAGUAACAUUAUAUUAUAUAUAUUCAAUAAAAUAAUUUUUAUAUAAAUUAUAUAUAUGAAAAAGACCAUGAAAUGCUAUUGUGUUUUUUAAAUCCCAACGAAUAUAUAUAGAUGAAUAUAUGUAUAUAUGAAAAUAUCGAAAAUAGAAUAUUUACAAUAUUUAAGUAAUAAUAUAUAAAAACUUAAGAUAACACCAUAUAAUAAAAAUAAUAUAAGCCAUAAUAAAAUUAGGUUUAUUAUUUGAGAAAUGAUAAUGAUAAUAAGAAAUGAUAAUAAACAAAUUAAUUUGAUAAUAGGAUGACAAAACAAAGGAAAAUUUUUGAAUUAAAACAAAAUCUUAAGUUUGAAUUUGAAAAUAAUGCACAAAUGAUUAAAAUGAGAACCAAUUAAUAUCCAAGGGACUAGUAAAUCAAUUUAACACAAAGUCAAGAAUUCAAAUCUCAUCAGCGAGAACGACGCCAUCUGUCCCUGGAUCUAAAUGAAAUCGAACUCAAAUAUGUGGUGCAAAUUAAAAGAAAUUAAAUCAAAUCAAAUUGAAACAACCCAAAACACAGAAGGGCUUGUCCGCAAAUGGACCAAUAAAAAAAAUGUGCGGAUCCUCCUCGGGUCAGGUCACCCGCGUGGGUUAUAGCCUUAUACGGCGCUGUUUUAGGGCCACUAAGGCAGGCCCUAAACGGUGUCGUUUCAUGCAUCAUAUAAAAACUAAUCCUAAGCUCUAAACCUAAACCCUCAUCAGUCUCCUAACCUAGCCAAAAUGAAGACCCCUUUUCUCUCCAGCACCGCAAUCCCGAAAUCCCAUCCAUCUCCGAUUUCGGACGGAGUCAACGGGCUCCGUUGGCGCGCUCGCGACGGUAAGUUUUCUCUUGCUCUCCCUUUUCUCUUUAGUUUUAUAUAUACUCAUAUAUAUGAUUAAUAACAAAAACAGAAGAAAAAAUAAUCGGAAACAGAAUCGAAAAGAGGAAAAAGAAACCUUUUUUUAUUGAUUUCGUUUUCUCAUAUCAUCCCCUUUUUUUUGUAUUCAAUCUCCAUAAAAAAAAAAGGAAAUGUUCGCAUUGUUUACAUUGGCCCUUUAUAGCCAAAAUUACAAAAAAAUAAAAAAUCCGAUCUGUUAUUUUUUUGUUUUUUCUUUUCUGCGUUUGUUGGCCUAUUGUUGUUGCUUUGCUGUUGCGUUGUCCAUUUUUGUUUGUUGCAGGUAUAGCGUACGGAUGCGUGCGUGGCUGGGGUGACGUGGCGCGGAACGUAUGGAGGCUGGUCGCGGAAGGCUUGGCUGCGGCGCCUGGUCUGUUCCAGAAACCCUAGGGUAUUUGGAAGCUGUUUAGGGCUAUCAGGGUCUGGGCUUAUUGGGCCUAGUGUAAUUGGGUUUAGUGGGUAUUUGGGCCUGUUGAUUUUGGAUUUGUAAAGACUGAUGGACUGUUAAUUUAUUUUAUUUGGUUUAAUAAAAUGGGCCGGGCAAAUUGGCCUAUUACAAGUGGAGCUAAAAUAUUUCUUAUAUUUGUUUUAUGUUCCAUACAUAUUAAUCUUUCCAUAGUUUAUAGUUACCUCUUCUAAUAAUGUUGUCUCCAAAAUUCGAACCCAAGUUCUCUAAUUUAAGCAGAACAAAAAAUGAAUAAAUCUGGUUAUUAAUGUUGAUAAGGCAUAAAAUAAGAAGAAACUUUCGUUAAUUAAACUUCUUCAAAAUCAUUAUCUUUCCAAAUAUGAUUAGUAGAUCAUACUAGGACUCUUCAAAUAAUAUCAUUUCUUGAUCAAGACUUCAUCAAUCAUAAUAAUGUAUUUUACGGCUCAAAAUCCUCAAAAAGAUGUAAGUGAAUAAUCAAGUUAUUUAAGUCAAAACAUGCCAACAAAUUGUCUUUUGAGUGAUGCUAGACCAACUAAUCUUGUAAAAGAUGGUCCACCGAGAUUUUUUGAAUUGCCUCUCAUUCUUCUUCAGAAAAUAUAGGGUGGCGAAGAUCAUGAUUAGAGGUGUUCAUGGGCCGAUUCAGGUUGAGUUGGGCCGAGCUUAAGCAUGAUAUAUUAACAUACUUUAUGCUUGCCAAAACUCAGCUCGACCCAAAAUAAAUGCUUAAAAUUUUGCUCAAGCCCCUCAUAUUUGUAAGGGCUAGUUCUUCAUUGCUUAAAAAAAACACUUCUGACUCCAAAAGCACUUUUAGAAGAAAAACUGUGCAAAACAAAUUAUUUUUGGCUGAAAUUUUUAGUUUUUCAGAAGUGUUUUUCAAAAGCACUUCUGAAAAGGAGAAGCUAAAAAUUUUAGCUUUUCUUUUCUCAAAAGCACUUUUAGUGCUUAAUUACUUUUUCACCCCUCCAAUAACAUAGUACUUUCCUUUUUUUUUUCUUGGUGCUUAAUUACAAAUGUGUUAAAAUCAUUAAUUAAAAAUAAAAAAAUAUUUUUUUAAAUACUAAUUACAAAUAUUUAAUGGUUAUAUUUAAAUAUUUAAAAUAUAGUUUAUAUAUUCUAAUUAAAUUUUAUAAUUAAUUAAUAUUUAUUGCUUAAAAAUAUUUAAAAUUUAUAUUUCAUAUAUUAAAAUAUUAGCAACAAGUUAUAAUAAUUUUUUUAUAUUCUUACUAAAAUAUAAUAAUAUUAACUAAUUUAAAUAUUAUUUAAAUGCAUAUUUGUUACUUGAUAAUAACAUGUCUAAAAUGGAUAUUUUAUUUCUCAAAAGCAUUGUGCAUUUUUUGACAGCAAUGCUAAACACUCAAAUUUUAAACCAAACUUUUCAAAAGCACUCCUCAAAAGUAUUUUUCCACAGCACUUUUCAAAAGUAUGGCCAAACUAGCCCUAAAUGACUAACCCAAGUCUAUUUUAGGCUCACCCAUAUGAUUGUUUUUAAUUCUAAAAAGUAUACUGUUUCAAUUUAAGAUUUAAUAAUUUUAUAUAAUUUUUUUACUCCUUAAAUCAUACAUAUAUUCAUAUUAACAUUUUUUAAUGUUUGGGUUAUAAUAAUAUUAUAGAUUACUAUAAAUUACAUAAUAUAAUCAAACUUAAGCCUUGAAUAUUCAAGCUUGAGUCUAUUUUUUUCCAAACCACCUAAUACCUUUAACCAAACCCUCUCAUCGUAUGUCAUGUUAAAAUUUUAGCAUGUAAUGGGUGUUAGAUCCUUCUAGAUAUACAAUCUUCCACCAAAAAAGGUUCAUAUGAUUAUUUUAGGACGGAGUUCAUAUCAUGUUACGGGUUAAUAACAUAAGGUAGAAAGCAAGCUUUUGCAUGAAGAUUAAAUCAGAAAAGCAUCCACCCUGCUGCCAAUUCAGGAUUCAUUACAAAUUGGCUUUAAUUAAAAACAAAAAAAACAACUGAUAUAAGCCAUUUCUUUUACAUGAACACAAAAAUUACUACAUUUACUGGUUCUUCAAUGGCCCUGAGGCCUCAAACACUAAAACCUCAAUUGUAGCUACUACGUUUAAGAGAAACGAAACCUUCCCAAACCAACACUGAACUAUGAAACAGUAGGAGUGUUUUUUUUUUUUUCUAGAGCUCUGCUACCGGCCACCACCGUACUACUUCGUAAUAAUAACACUUUCAGAGUUAUGUUUUGUCUACAGGAGGAUUUUCUGGGAUACUCUGCAUGAAUGUAGCUGAUACGUUAAACAGUUACCUAUAACUGAUGAUAUUUGAAAUGUUUUGAAAACGAGUAUAUACCUUCGGCCAAAUGUAAGAAAACACAGGGAGAGCAGCUGUUGAACUAUUUUUACUUGUAUGGGGUGAAAAUGAUCGAUGAGUUAUGCCCGCCAAACCCGAAUGAAUUCGACAAAGCCGCCUUAACGUUCAAUCUUUCUUUAUUUGGCCCCACAAGCACACUUGUGUCCUGGAAAGCAAAAUUGAACCAUGUAGGAAAACCGAGGGAAAAAAACUACAGUAUGUAUGUGUCACAAAGCAAAAACUGAUGAAUGAGAAGGAAGAAACAAGAGAGAGAGAGAGAAGAGGCAACAUACCACUCCUACAUCCGGGUUUUCCAGGUUGAUAUUUGGAUGAACCCAACCAGUUCGUAUUGCCUACAAUUAACAAGACAUUACCAUGUCAAUGUUCAGGUUCCGGAAAAGGGAAAGAAAAUAGGAGAAAGAAGAUAAGAUGCAUGAUUCCUUUCAUCCCUGCUCGUAUCAUAUAGCCACAAAACAGAAAUACAGAGGAAGUAGGGAGAACAAUCUUCUCGAAUAAGAGAACAUAAACAACAAAAAUUCAGCACCGUGCAAAUUCUGUCCAAUCUGCUUCCUAAAUCCAAAAUAAGAACAUAACCAAAAGUCAAAAUUGCAUACCUGUACUGUUGCAACAGCUUCCACAGCACCGGAAGCUCCUAGUAGGUGACCAAUCAUUGAUUUUGUAGAGUUCACCCUUAACUGCAAAUGAUGGAGAUCUUAUCAAUAAUCACAAUGCAUAAAUUUGAAAAACAGAAAUGCAUGGAGAUUCAAUUUUUCAAGAAAAGUAGGUGAAAUUACCUCGGGAUUGUCUCCAAAACAAUGAAGAAGAGCUUGGUAUUCUUUAAUGUCUCCAGUUGGUGUCGAUGUAGCAUGAGCAUUAAUAUAGUUUAUAUCUCCUCUAGAUACACCAGCGUGAGCCAAGGCCUUUUCGAUGCAGAGAAUGACACCAACACCUAUUUUUAAAUUUCACGAGAUGGAUGUUAGUUUAAUUUUUCAUAGAGUAACAUGCACUGCUUCAGAAAGAACAUGUAACAUCGCUAAUUAUAUAAAUGUGGGUUAUCUUCACAGUAGGGAAUACUCGGACAAAGAGGCAUAAGUUGCAAUCUCAUGAUAUUUAUUCUGCUCAAUCACGAAAAUGAAGAAUCUAAUGUCAAGACAUGCAUGUACUCGAUAAUGCCAUGAGCCAAAAAAAAAUUACAUGCUUAUAUAAAUCAUUGUUUCACGGAAAAACAAUAAAGUAAAAGCAGCAAAUUAAGUCUCAACGUCUAUAUUUAGAAAAUAAAUCGGGAUUUAAGAAGAAUUGCGGUUAUACAGAUGUGGCUCAUUACCAUCAGGGUGAGGCUCGGUCAUGUGAUAAGCAUCACAAGUGAAGCUUCCACCAAGGAAUUCUGCAUAGAUAGUCGCACCUCUCCUCUGCAAAAUCAGAAAUCUAAACACGAUAAUUUCCUUUCUACAAAAGAAACUAAGUACAAACCUAUUGCUUACAACAUGGAUUUGUAGGGUUUGAAGACAGUGUACCUUGGCAUGCUCCAAUUCUUCCAAAAGUAGAACCCCAGCACCUUCCCCCAUGACAAAUCCAUCGCGAUUCUGGAAGAAAAAAAUAGAACCACUAUCAAGGUAAAUAGCACGCACGAAGCAAAACAAGGAAAAUUAUGUUCCUUUGAUUAGAAAAUGCUCGAUAAAUAUAUAGUGUAACUUUGUCAAAAAGACCAUGUGCAGAUACAUAUCAUUUGUGAUGUGAGUUGUUAAGAUAUGAUAAACACGUUGAAUACUCGUUCAAAAGGUUAGAAUAGUUGACAUUAAUUACCAUGAAGUUUAAUUCAUAAAUGCAUUCUUGGUUUUACUGGUUUUGUUCUAUGAAGAGGGGAAAAUGAAACAACAGCAAAAGGAAAAAUGAUAGUGAUGAAGCUCAAGAGUUUUCGAAAUAUUACAGCAUCCCAAGGGCGUGAAGCUUUGGUAGGAUCAUUGUUCCUCUGAGAGAGCGCUCUACAAGCCACAAAUCCUCCCAAACCUAAAUGAAAAAAAAACAAUAAAAUAGAGUAUUACAUGCUAUACCAAGCGGAAAGAUUAUAAAACAAUGCUGAAUAAGAAAGUUAGAACAAUAUACCAAUGGGUAUAAUCGCCGCAUCAGAGCCACCACAAAGCAUCAUAUCCUGCAAUUUUGACACAAAUACCGUUGAUAUAGUGCAAUCAAUCAUACAUGAUAUAUUGGAUGUUUUUCUUUGCUAGACUUACAGCUUCGCCUCUAAUGAUAUGGUUUGCUGCGUUUAAUAUGCAAAAGUUGCUUGUAGCACAUGCAGUGGAGAUUGAAUAAUUAGGACCCAUCCAUCCCUGAAGAAAUCAUCAGUUUAAAGCUCAAACUCGAAAUUUUAACAUCCAUCAAGGUCUAUCUUAACAUUGCAGAAUCUAAAUUUAAGCUAACCAAAUCCAUUGCAAGCAUUGCAGAACCCAUAUUUGUUGUAGCAAACGGUACGCAAAAAGGAUUCAUCUUCCUGUAUGAGAUCCUCAAAGCUUCAAUCGCAUCAUUGAAAACCUGUUCAUUCCACAACAAGCAAUGUAUAUGAAUCGAUGGAUAUAGAAAGAAAACUAUAUACCAUGACACUUUCCUUCUUCUAGAAAAAGAUUUUACCUUCAUGCCACCCAUUGCUGAACCAAUCAAAACUCCACAUUUCGUUUUAUCUAACUCCUCCAUUACGUCUUCAUUUACUCCCCCAUCUUGCAAAGCUUUCUUUCCGGCAGUAAGAGAAUAAAGCAUGAAUUUGUCCAUCCUCUUGGAAAGUUUCGGUGCGACCCAUCCAUCAGUUGAGAAAGAUUUGAUCUCUCCAGCAAUCCUCUGGAGAGAAAACAGGAGCAGUAAGAACGAGCAGCAGUACAAACAAGAGCAAAACAAGAGAUCCCAAAGACAACUUACAGUCGGAAACUGAGCGCAGUCAAAAGUCUCGAUUUCACUUAUACCACUAACACCCUCGAGCAGGUUGUUAUAGAAAACAUCAGGCUCAUGUCCAAGCGGAGUUACUACUCCCAUCCCGGUCACAACCACUCGUCUUUGCUUCGUAGGAGGCUUCUUCUUCGUUGUAAUCUCUCUUGUGGGUUGCACAGCUAUAGCCAUGGCUUGUCCUAAGUUUUUUUUAAACAAAUUAAACCGCAGAAUGAACUUAAUUUAGCCGGUAAGUUCUACAAACAACACAUAUAAACAAUCUCAUAUACAUACAAAAAGCCCAAAAUUCUAGAAUGCAAAACAAACAUUUUUCCAUUUUAUAUUGAAAGAAGCAGCAAACCCAUGAAAACAAGACAAUUAAUACUACCAACCUACAACAACUUGUUAAAAAGAGAGAGAGAGAGAAAAGCAGAAUCAAUUAUAUCUAUAAUUUAAUUAUUGCGAAAGAAGUACUAAAGCUUGCACAUGUAUAAUCUGUUUGUAUUAAAUUCAGAUUAGCUGAGGAAAUAAUGAUUUUCCAUGGCUAUGGACUUAAUAAGAACUUAAAAUCAACUAUAUUUCUAGCUCUUAAUUUUGUUUUAAAACAAACAAAAAAAAAUCUUGGUGAAAUUGUACAAGGGAACAUUUAUUAUAUCUCUGUUUUCAUUUCUAGACUUGCUUUCAAGAAAAUCAAUUAAAGAAAAAGAGGCAAAAACAGAGCUCUCUACAGGAAUUAAAAUUCAUAACAAUAAAAAAGAAAAAGAACCCAGAUUUGAAAAAGAAACAUUAUAUGUUACCAGAAUGAUGAGCUCGUCGAUUGAGCCUUUUUUGCUUGCGAUUAUUAUUGAAAGGAACAUUUUUGGAGCCGAAGAAAGAUGAAAAGCUUCCAUUUUGACCGAAAAAGCUACCAUUUUUAGAGGAAUAAUAAUCAUUACAAGGCUCAAAAGCCAAGCAAGAAGCCAUCAAGCCUUGAAUGGUGGAUCCACGGAAGGAAGAAAUCAAGCCCACGUCUUUGUUAGGGGUUGCGCCGCCACCACAGCAUUGAGAAAGGAGAGCCUUCCUUCUAUUACGAGCCCAACGGCCGAGCCCGUUCGAAGAAGCGGAGGCUGAUGAGUUGAACAAUGGAGACCGGGACUGGUCUUUACCGUACGUUACCGACAUACAAGCCGCCACCAGCCAAGUGCAUAAAGGACUUGCCAGUGAUGAAGAUGUCAUCAUCCCCCCAAAAGAAAAAAAACAAAUAAAACUAAAGAUUAUAAGUGAAAAAAAAAGAUUGUAAAGAUUUGGGUCUGGAUAAAGAUAGAGUAUUUAUGUGAGGUUAAUAAAAAUCUAGCAACCCAUCAAUGGAAAAAAAAAGCAAAACAAAAAAUAAAGAUUGAAAUUUUGAUGAAGAAGAAAAUCGAAGUUGCAUUCGAUAUUUUGGGGGAAAAAGCUUUGAAUCUGGGCAAUCUCAGUCGUUUCCUUUUAGACUAAAUGACUGCACUGCCAAGUACUUUUUUUUUUUUAAUUUUUGUUAUUUAAAAUUUAAAAUUUAUUUUUUCUCCUCCUGGUUUCAGCGAGAGUUUCAGUUUGUCUCUCGAAUGAGAAAACCAGAAACAAUUUUUCUUUUCUUUUCUUUUUUAAAAAACGAGGAUCUAUGACCAGAAAAAUUGUUCUUAAUUUAUCAGUGGUAAUUUAAUUUUUUAAUGAUAAAAAAUAGGUUUUCUCAUUGUGCUCUUUUGUAUCAUAAAGGUUUGAAUCGGAGCGGUUAAAUUUGGGAACGGUUGAGAUAUCGAUUCAGAGAAAGGUAUUAAAUUGAUUAAAUUAGAUUAAAAAUUUAUUUUAACUCGAUUUUUAUUUUUUUAGUGAUUUUUAUAUAUAUUCAACAUAUUAUAUAAAACUACAUCUUUUUUAAUAUGAUAGAAAUAAAAAGUAAUUAAAAUUAAAAGGAUAAUGAGAUUUUGACAAUGAUAAAAGAAAUGUUUUAAUUUCUUUCUAAAUCAUGUAUGAAUUUUUAGUUUAAAACUUAUCUCAUUUAAAUUUCACUAUUAUAAAUUUUAUAUUAAAAAUGAAAUAGAAAAAUAAUUUAUAAUUUUUAAGGAUUUAAAAUUGAAAUAAUUACCUCAACUAAAAUUCGGACGUGAUUAGUGUUGGAGGCCCGCACAUAUAAAUGCACGAGAGAGGGAGAGACAGAGAGAGAGAAUGAAUGAAUGAACUAAAAAAGGAAAGCUUUUCGGCUUCAUUAUUCCAUCGUUUACCUCUCCAACUCAAAUAACAAUCAAUCAAUUCAGUGCAAACCUCCAUUCCAAAAGACUCUUUCUAUUCGUAGAGGAAGAUAUGGAAAUUGGGAUAAUAAGUGUGAAAAUUCCCCAAAUCUAUUCAUGCAUGUAGCCAAUAGCUAAGAAGACACGUAGAUUGAGCAUUUGUCCUCCAUUGUCACGACUUCAAUCUACAUUGAAGCCUUUUUAAUCCAAUAGGUAAAUCUCUUCUUCUAAAAACCCUAUUUAACUUGUAAGUGUGUUGCUUGAUUACUUUCUCUCUAAAUGUGCUGAACUCGAAUCUCUGUAAACAUUGCUAGUAACUGUCUUGCUCAAUCUGGUUGUUUACUUGCUAGUUUGCUAAUGAUGAAUAGUGAAUCCCCCUCCAAAAUCAUCGAGUUGAAAAUCAACUCAUUCACAAAUUUGAUCGCCUAAUACCUUACAAGAGCUUCCGUUGCGAACACAUCAGGUAUGUGAUUGUUCCACUCGCAUCAAUCCCAUGAUAAAGUAUUGAGAUUUUGUGCCUUUGGUGUGGCUAUUGUCAUUUAUGCUUAUAUUUUUUCAAGCAUAUUAGUUAAUAAAAUUUCAUGGUUAAAUUAUUUUCUUUUGUAUAUUUGUUCUUAUUGGUUUUUGUACGAAAAGAAAAAUGAACAAAGAAAAUAUUAGCUCAUUGAUUACUUAAUGUUUAACUAAUAUUAAGUUGCAUCAUAUGAUUGGAUUAUGAUGUAACACCUAUGGUAGUAACACCUAAGCUGACUGCAACAUAUGGCAGUCCAUUUCCUAAUGGUUAUUUGUAUCGUAGCAUUAUUGGAACUUUACAGUAUGUAUGUCAACAAACUGAGUCAGUACUUGAAUUCUCCAAAUGAUACUCGCUGGCAGGUAGUGAAGCGUGUGUUGAGAUUUCUUAAUGGAACUUUGGAUCAUAGCUUAUACUUCACCAAAGGUUGUUUUGAAAUGGUCUGUUAUUCUGAUGCUAACUGGGCGUCCACUAUUGAAGACAGACGAUCCACCACAGGUUACUGCAUUUACCCUGGCUCCAAUCCAGUUAAAUGGUGUUCCAAAAAGUAGACUGUUGUUUCUAAAUCCUCCUAAGAAGCAGAAUAUCACAAUCUCGCAAAUUGUAUUAUUGAACUACUAUGGGUGAAGUAGCUGCUAACUGAAGUUGGUGUCCAUCUACAACAUACUCCAGUAGUGUGGUGUGACAACACCUCCACGGUGUCAAUAGUAGCCGAUCCAACUCAUCAUGCUAAAGGUUAAGGUGGAGAUUGAUCAUCACUUUGUCCGAAAGAAAGUUCAUGAUGGUAUCCUGCAUGUCAAUUUUGUGCCCUUAGCAAGCCAAAUUGUAGAAGUUCUCACCAAACCUAUCACUCCAAAGAAGUUUUCUUCCUUUUGAGAUGCCUUACGAGUCCUCCCUUUGAGAAAUAGUCAACCAAAGAGGUCAACACAAAACAGAACAUCGGAAGAAUGUUAGAGUAGUAGCAGUUGAGUAGUUAGUUUGUUAAAGAAAGGUUAAAGAAGUUAGUAGUUAAAGAUAGUUACAGAAGUUAGUUAGCAGCUUAGCACCCUUUGAUAUCAUGUGUAUAAAUACAAAUCAUACAUUUAAUAUGUGUAGAAUUGAAAAAUUAAAUCCAUAUAUUAAAAUUGUAAAAUUUGAAAAUGAAUCAAUCAAAAAAUGAUAGAGAAUCAAUUCGUUCUCAAUGAUUCAACAUGACGAGGCUCGGAUGCCACUUGUAAGAUUCGUAAAACAAGAUCUGAUAUAAACUUAAAAUUGUAAACCAAGAUUUGUCAUGUCAAAUUAUCAAUAAUAAAUCAAGAACAAAAUUAAAUGUGAAAGCAUACCUAAAUCCAUUGAUUUAUUGGAAUCUUGGAUCUUAUGGUCCUGAUCUUCCAAAUUAGCACACAAGUAAUUCAGAGAAUCUGGCUCUCUUUUUUCUAAAGAUUUGAUAUUAGAAAAGUUACGUAUGUGUAAUUUGAGGACUAUAACUCUAACAUAUAGCUUUUGCAUAUUAAUCCUAAUUUCUAAUCAACCCAUCAUCAAUUACAAAUUAGUUACUAGAGUAUCUACACAUAUUUGACCCAUACUUUAUUUAAUAACUAAAUCCCAAUAAACCUUAACUAAAUUAGAUCACUUUUAAUUUGGGCUAAUUUUUUUUAUGAUGGUAAAUAAUAACACGUAAUUACUCUUAUUAUAUAUGUAAUGUCAAUAUUUUCCAAUAGGAGAGGAAUAAAUAUAGUAUUUCUUUUAGAUUUGAAGAUAUGAUGAGAAGAAAUGGUGAUGGUUAGUUAUAGGGGAAUUUUUUGGAGUUGAAAGAAUGAAAGACAUGUAAUGUUUUGGGAGAAAUAGAUUUUUCUGAGACCUCUUAUUGGAUACAUAUUCAUAAUUUACCUUUGAAACCCAGCUCGCGGAGACCUAGGGAAGGUUGCAGUCUCACCUUAUAUAUACCCAAGGAACUCGUAGGAAGUGCCACGUGCUCCACAGGCCACCCAGGCACGCAUUCAGCAGGUACGGAGCUCACCCUGAAUGCUAGUCCCAGGAACAAAAAGGACCCUGUGCUCCAUAGACAUGUGCCCAACAAAUUUGGAGCUCGCAGAGAAUGUCAAUACUAGAGACAUCAGAGUCAAGACAAAAUAGUGGAGUCCUAUCAUGAGCUGUAAUGGCAGCAGUAGCAAAAUGUAUAAAUACUCAGAUACUCGUAUCAAUAAGACACAAGCAAAAUAUUACUCAACAAAUUUUAAUAUUUAUCUUUUAUAUUUGUAAUAGCUUUCUCCUGUGAGAUACACAUGUUAAACUACAAUAGGUUUUUGUGGUCCAAAAAUAAAUGAUAUGUUCUGGUGGUGUAACGUGGUGAGGUCAAGUCACGUCCACUUAUUUUUAAAUUAAUUAAUUAAUUAAAAUCUAUUAAUUUUUUUAUAAACCUUUUGUCGAAACCGUUUUUUUGAAAACAAAAAUUUUAGUUGUCGACUUUUUAAAAAUAAAACUGGAGUCGCCACCGAUCCUUUAUUAAGGUGUGACCGGCCCACCUCAAAAAUCAUUUUGGUCUGCGAAUUUUAAAAACAGGUUCGGGAGUCAGUUACGCACGAGGAAGGGUUAGCACCCUCGUAACGCCCAAAAAUCGGUACCAAAUUGACUAUUUAAUGUCUUUGUGUCGAAAGUUAAAAAAGAUUUUAAAAUAAGCUUGAAUGAUGAAAUUGGCAAAAGGAUAAUCAAUUGUUCAAGUCAUGUAAAGAAAUCGAGUCCCAAUACGUUAGGGUACAAUUCCUCAUAAUCCCCAAACUUGAAUAUCACUUUUAUUUUAUACGAAAAUCUUCAUUUCGAGAAAGUAACAUGCCACACACAAUACGUUAGGGCACAACAAGUUAAGUUCCCAAAAAUGAUUUUUAUGCAUUUUGAAUAAAAAUAUUCUCGGUCAUUUAGGAUUGACAAAGAAAAUCAGAACCCAAUACGUUAGGGCUCAAUUCCCCUCAAAAAUCCCAAACUUCCAAAAAUGCUUUCAUUCAAAACCUUUAAAUCAAAAAAUAACUUUGAUGAAUGGUUAAAACCAAAAUAUAUUUCCAAAAGGGUAUGUUAAAGUUGAUGUAUAAUAUGAAGCAAAAACUUUCAUUUAGAACGUAUAUAAAUACAUAUUUACAAAAUAUAUAUGAGUACAAUAUACAAGUAUGUUCGAAAAUAUGUACAAGCAUGCAUUUAACACGUAAAUACAAGUGUACAUAUAACAAGGAAAGUAAAGAAGUAUAUACAACAAGCUUACAAUAAUUUCUAAGAAUAUGCAUGCAAAACAUAUGUAUGUAUACGUGAAAAUUGCGAAGAUAAAAAAAAAUCAAAAUAUGCAUAUGCAUUAUAAAAUAUAAGUGUAUACACAUAUAUACAUAUAUUUAUUUAUAAAAACUAUGAAAACAAAAUAUUUAUGAAAUAUGAGCGUAUAAGGAUUAAAAUAUGUAUGUAUGCAUAUAUAUAUAUAUAUAUAUAUAUGAAUGUAAAAUUAUGAGAAUAAAAUAAAAUAUAAAACGUGCGGAUGUGUUUAUGUUUAAAAAAAUGUAUAAAUACGUAUAUAUAAAAUAUAAGGUAUAUAAAAAUAUAAAGGAUAAAAAGAUAAAAUAAAGGAAAUAAAAUGUAUGUAAAACGUACAAAAACAUAUGCAUGCAUUUUUAAAGCUUAAGAAUAUAUAUGCUAGUAAUGAAAAUAUGAAAAGAAAAUAAUAAAAGUUAUGCGUUUGUAAAAAAAAACCGAAAUAUAAAACAAUAUGUAUAUACACGUACAUGAAAAUCAUAAAUGGUAUUAGUAUAAUAAUAAGUAAUAAUAGUAAUAACAAACGAGUAACAGUAUAUUUAAAAAAAAUAAAAAACCAAAUAAAGUAAAAAAAACCAAAUUGUACAAAAGACAAAAAAAUGGGGGUAAAUUCAAAAAUAAUAAAAAAAGGAUCAAUUUGAACACGCGAGCGACAAUGGGGGACUAAAAAGGAAAUAAUUCCUUCCCUUCCAAAACGCUGCGCAAUGAGGUAUCAAAUUGAAAUAAAAAUGGAAUACGCGGCCCAAAUUUGAAAACCAGUGGAAAAUGGUUCAAUUGACAUGCGUUGCAAAAGGGAGGGGUUAAAUUCGCAAAUUCCCCAUCUGACGUCAGAACGCGCGGAUCCUCCCCAUCGGGUCGGGUCACCGCGCGGGUCAGGGCCUUAAAAACGACAUAUUUUUUGCAGCGUUAUUUAAAACAAAAUUUCCUUUCAAAAUCAUUUACAACCGAAAAUAAAAAAAACACCCCUCUUUUGCUCUGCUAGGGUUUCACCCCUAGCGUCCUCGUGCCGCCGCCGCAACGCGCCUCCGCCGCGAUUUCACCGAGAAUGGUGAUCGGAAAGGCGAUACGACGGGCUUUUAACUGCCCUUGAGCAGAUUCAAAGUGAAGGUAAACCCCCUUUCUCUUUUUUCUAAUUUUAGUUAUACAAAAACAAUAAAACGUAAAAUGCAAAGGAAAAAAACAGUAGUGGGGUUCACCUUUUUAAAAAACUUGUAUUCUGAGUUUUCUUUUGCCUUUUUUUCUCCUCCUUUUUUACAGAUUUAAAAGGGCCUUUUAUAGGCCGAAAAAAGAAAAUAAAUCGAGGGAAAACAAUAUUGCUCGUUGUUUUUUCUCAUUGGACUCCUUGAGUCCGUUUUUCAGGUGCUCGUGGAGAGUUUGGCACGCGUGGAGGCCGAAACUUGCGGCGAUCGGGCGUUGGGCGCGGCGUGGAUGCUGUUGCGGCGCUGAGGCAGAUGCGGCUAGGGUUUUGUUUUUUGUGUUUUGCUGUGUUGAUCUUUGGGUUUGGGCUGCUUUGUUGGGCUUGUAAAAUGUAGGCCUGUUCAUUUUUGUUUCGGCUUAUUACGUAGGCCCAGGCCGAUUGGGCCUUAUUACACCUUUCAUUUUAAAUUUUAUUAGCAUAAUUUCGAUUUGCUAGUUAUUUUUUAAUAAUGAGAAAAAUAAUAGUUAAGUACGAAGUUAUCUAAUUAUUUUUUAAAGUUUGAAAAUUAUAAUUAUAAUUACAACUAAUAUAUUUUAAAAUCAUUAUAAUCGUAAUUAAAUUAUUGGAUUAAAAAUUAAAAUAAAUCCUAAAUCAUAAUGAAUUUUUAAGAAUGGUUAAUCCUAUUAAAUUUUUUUAUUAAAUUUAGGUUUAUUAUAAUGUCAUUUUUUACAUAAAUUCCAAGUAAGUUUUUUUUUAAAUUUUAAAUUAUCACACCAAUAAAUUUAACAAAUGAAUUUUAACAAUGUUAACAAAUAGACUUACAUUUUUAAACUUAAAAAGUAGAGGGACUAAAUUCCUGAAAGUAAAAGUAUGAAAACUAAAUUCCAAAUAUACGAAUAGUACAAGAAUUUAGAGCAUAUUCCAGUCUUUAAAUUUUUUUUACUUUAUAAUUACUUUGAUUUCUCAAGGUAUCUACCGGAGCGAGUCCAAUAACUAACCCUCCGCAUUCUAUAAGCACAUUAAGGGGUAGAUGUAACACCCCCUACCCGUAUCCGUUGUCGGAAUAGGGCACGAGGCAUUAUCGGAGUUUACUGAAUAUUUUCAAUAAUUCUGAGUCAUUUAUUAUUCAUAUUCUGAAAAUAAUCAUAACGUCCCUCUAUUGGACCCUUAAAGCUCAAAACAUUCAUUAGGAACCUACUGGGAUUAAAUCGGAAUCAUAGGUAAUUUUUCGCAGAAUUCUAAAUAUAUAUAUAUAGAUUUUAAUUUUUUUAUUUUCGAAUUAGGUGCAGGAUUCAUACGGGCGUAUCACAUAACAAAUCUUUUCAUAAGAAAUUUACAUAACUGAAACAUUUCCACUCUUUCAUAAGCUCAAUUAUAUUUUCAUCUAAGCACUUACCAUGCCAAUGCACUUUAUAAUUAAAUAUAUUACCAUUCAACAGUAAUUUGACACUUGCCUAAACUUCAAGCAACAACAUUGGUUAGUGUACUUUAAUAUUGACAAACUUAUUUUCUAGCCAUGUCUCACUUAAAUUUAUUACUUGUCCUAAUACACAUAAUUUUCCUUGUAUCAACGUAUCAAAGAUAGUCUCAUAUUUUCUUAUUGUUUCUUCUUAAAUAUAAAUCAUUCAAUUCAUUAUGACAAUAUUUCAUGUACCAUAAUUUUCUAUAAGUUCAAUGUAUAUUUAUUCCAGUAGCAGUUCAUAAUCUUGAAUAUGCAUAAUUAUCAGGCAAGUUUCACAUACAUGUAUUUUCCAUGUCAUAUUUCAGUAUAUCAAAUAAUUAUCAUUCCUAUGUAUUUCAAGUUUAAUUUCAUGAUUUUAGGUACUUAUCAUUUUCUAUUUUUAUCCUAUUGAAUUUCUCGAAAUUUCGAUGGAUUUUCAGGGGUACACUUUAGUGUACAAACUCGGGUCCGUCAAUUCAUAUUCAUGUGCGCACAUUUUCCAAUUCAGAGAGCACACUCCCGCGAACCUCAUUUCUUACAGCGGGAUUACCAGUCCAGGCUAAAUCCCCUGUAAUAUAAACUCAUAGAGUAUUGUCGGGAUUACCAGUCCAGGCUAAAUUCAGACCCUAAUUCGGAUUACCCGUCCAGGCUAAAUCCAUUUUCCACAUAUUCUUCGGGAGGGCUAUAUCAAGAUCACCCGUCCGGGCUAGAUCCUUUUUACCGUCAAUUCCUUUUCAGAGAUCCAUCGAAUUCUCCUUCCAUUCAACCGGGAUUUCUUCCCUUUUUAUUAAAUAUAUCAAUGUUUCAUCAAUUUUCAUACAAUGAACAUUCAAAUCAUAUUCACAUUGUUGACACCAUUUUUUUGAUGAGAAACAGGUCGACUUGGGUUUUGAAAAAUGAAACGGGAGUCGCCACCAAUCCCUUUUUUAUGAGGUGUGAUUGGAUCACCUCGAAAAGUGGUUGUUUUUAAUAAACGAUUUGAUUUUAUUAAAACAACAAGUUUGGUCCACGAAAUUCAAAAAAAUGGGUUCGGGAGUCAGUUACGUACGAGGAAGGAUUAGCACCCUCGUAACGCCCAGAAAUUGGUACCUAGCUGAUUAGUUAAUGUCUUGAUGUCGAAAAUCGAGAACUUAGAAAAAUUAAGAAUACGAUCCUUGUAUUAAAUAAAAAUUUGGGAAAAGAAGCAUAUUUCACAUUAAUCGAGAAAGAGAAUCAUAUCCAGUAAGUUAGAAUACAAUGUCUCAAAUUCCCGAUACACGAAUGGAAAAUGCUUAUUUAAAAGAUAUUUUAGCCAUCUCGGAUUUAAAAAUGAGAUCACGACCAGUAAGUUAGGACGCGAUUUUUUUCUUAAAAUCCCGAGAUCAUUUAAAACUUGAGUUUAAAAAGAUUCGUCCAUUUAGAUUUAUCGUGAAAAUCGAAACCCAGUAAGUUAGAGUACGAUUUUCUCGAAUCUAAACACGAAAUAUUAUUUAUUCAAAACAAACUUGUUAUAUCGAAUAAAAUGAAAUACGAAAAUCGUAGGAAAAAUACGAAAGCCAAUAAAAUCAUAAUGCACGCAGAAAUGUAAAAAUAAUACGAACAAUAGCGACAAUAUAAUAAAAAUCAUACUUACAAUCAUAUAAAAUAACAAUAUAUAAACAAAUAAAUUAAAACAUUCAUUCAAAAUAAUAAAGAAAAUCAAAUAAACAAACAAACAAAUCAGAUAAAUAAAAUUAUAAAAAAUGUAAAAAGUUGUAUGUAUGUAUGCGGAAAAUAUGAAUCAUAUAUGUAAAUGAGUAUGUAAAUAUAUAUAUAUGUAUAUUAAGAUUAUAAAAUGAAUAAUAAUAUAUAUACAGGUAUAUGUGUAUAUGGACUAAAAUAUAUAAAGUAAUAUAUAUGUAUAUGAAUUUAAAAAGUAUAUAAAAAGGUAUAUUUUAAAUUAAAGAUUGUGUGUAAGUAUGUAUAUAUAUUUAUAAAAAUGAAAAUAUGUAUAUAGAUAUAUGGAUAUGAAUAUAAGUUGUAAAAUAUAUAUAAAGAAAAAUAAGCGUAUAUGUAAGUUAUAAUAUAUAUAUGUAUAUCAUAAAAUAUAUGCACAUGUAUAUAUGUAUAUAUCGAAAUUUGAAUUAAAAAGAUAAUAAUAAUAAUGAUAAUAAUAAUAAUAAUAAUAGGACUAGAUUAAAACUGAACCAAAAUUUCCGGGCUAAAAUAAGAAAUAAAUUAAGGUACGGGAUCGAAUUGUGAUGCGCGCGAAAAAGGGGGGGACCAAAAUGGAAAAUAAGCCAAAGCCUCCCAAAACGCUGCACAGUAAUGGACCGAAUUGAGGCAAAAAUAAAAUUUUGUGGCGAAAUUGCAAAUAUGCGAAAAAUUUCCAUGAAAGCACUACAGAAUCAAAGGGACUAAAUGCGCAAAUUACCCAAUAGUUAAAAACACGCGGAUCCUCCCAUUAGGUCGGGUUACCGCGCGGGUCAGAGACCAAAAUGACGUCGUUUUUGGUCUCUGAACCCAAAGCCCAAACGGUGCCGUUUUGUGGGGUUUUUUAAACCCAAAAUUUUCCCAAAAAUCUCAUUUCCACCCACCAUUUAAAAAAAAAUUCAAAAGACCCUCUGUUUUCUCAAAAGGUCCGGCCCUUGGGUUCUCCUAGCGCCGCCGUUACGCCACCACGGACGGUGGUCGGCCUCGCGCAAAUAGGCACCUUACCCAUCCAUUUCAGGACCUUAUUGAAGGCCAGAUUUACAUGGCCUAAAGAGCCGAGAGGAGAGGCUUUGGAACCCAACUUUUAGGACCGAUCUUCGACGAGAAAUAACCCUCAAUCGGCGCAACCGAACGGCUCUCAGGUGAGUUCCCUUUUUUUUCCUUUCUUUAUUAUAUAUAUAUGUAAAUAAACGAAAAAAGACAAGAAAUAAAAAAUAAAAACGAAGAAGAGUACUCUUAAUCACCUUAAAACUUAGUUUGUAUUUUAUUUCUUUUUUGCUAAUCUCUGUUUUGUUACAAAGAGUACCCCCCCUUUUCUAUUUGAAUGGCUUUUAAAUAGCCAUUUUACAAUUUUCUAUUGUCUCUACUACUGUUUUGUCCUUCUUUGCGUGAUUUUCUUCUUUGCAGGCAAGUGGGGUGAUGGGACGGUGGCAGAAAGCAGGUGAACGGCGGAGUUGGUGGCGGUGGCAGAGGGUAGGUGAUGGGGGCAUUGUAAUUGGGUCUGCUGGUAUGGGUUAGUGUUUAGGUGGGUUAUUGGGUUUGUGGGUAUUGGGUUCUUUUGUUAGUGGGCCGGGCAGAAAUUGGGUUUGUACAGCUGCCCCUCUUUGCUCGUUGUCGUGUAACGAUAACAGAGCAAAGACUAAGAAAGACCAAUUUUUGCCCAGUCUUUGCCGAGUAUUGACUUCUCUUGACGCUUCUUUUCAAGUAACUUUAUUCUAGUCCACUGUGUCUUGUUGCGUCGACCCACUCCACUGUAACUUCCAAAAGACAAAACUUGUAGCUUCAAUCCACUCUAUUGUAGCUUCAGGGGGUAAGGUCCAUCAUUUUGACCCGCUCCACUGCAACUUCGGGGAGAUCGGACUCAUAUCUUCAGCUUGCCCCACUACAACUUCAGGGGGAUAAGAUUCGUGACUUCAACCUGCUUUACUGCAACUUCAGAGAGACAAGGUUUGUGACUUCGCUUCCAUCUAUUCUACUACAACUUUAGGGGAAUAAGAUUAGACAUGAUAAGAAUCACUAUCUUCUGUCCGCUCCGCUACAACUUUAGGGAGACACGCAUUAUUGUUUUCAGUCUGUUCCACUGCAUCUUCAGGGAAAUAAGACUUGAUGCGAUCUACUCUGCUGUAACCUCAGAGAGAUAAGAUCCUUUAUUUUAAUCCGCUCCACUGUAACUUCAGGGAGAUAGGAUAGUGUCUUCGAUCUGCUCCGCUGUAAUCUUAGGGAGAUAAGAUCUCUGGCUUCAAUCUGCUCCACUGUAACCUCAGGGAGAUAAGAUCCGAAAUUCUUUGGUCUAUUCCACUGUAAUCUCAGGGAGAUAAGACCUGAUGUGAUCUUCUCUACUGUAACUUCAGAGAGAUAAGAUCCUUUAAUCCGCUCCAUUGUAAUCUCAAGGAGAUAGGAUUACUAUCUUUGAUCUGCUCCGCUGUAAUCUCAGGGAGAUAAGAUCUGAAAUUCUUUGGUCUGUUCCACUGUAAUCUCAGGGAGAUAAGACCUGUAUAAUAAACCUAAUUAUGCCUAAUGAUUAGGAUGACAUGAUCAAAAUGAAACAAAUGCUCCUAACUAGACAUAUGUGAAUGGUGUUUGCAUGAAUGCAGAAUUUUAUUUUUCCGAGAAUGAUCUCGCUUAGGUUAUCACUACUCGAAGUUUAUCAAGGUUUUGUGACUGAUGUGCUACAACGCCUUCUCGCUUGACUAAUUUUUCUGAAGAAACAUUUAGCCAGACUGUCCCCAUUAUAAACCUCAAAGUUAUAUCCACUGGGACGCCAAAAUUUGUACCAUCAUUCUCUCACAGUAAUCUAAGGGUAGAAAUAUGUGGCUUUUCCUCUGUCCUCUUUUAUCACAAUUCGGAGAUAUAGGAUCUGAACCGUUCUGGUUUCCUACACCAUUCUCAAGGUGUCGUACCAAAGUCUUAUGCGCAAGUGAAGGCUCUCUUCUCCGAGGUAACCUCUUCCUAUUGCCUGAUGAUCAUUGCUUGCUUGUUCAUUUAAGCUUUGUAAUUAACACGACAGCUUGUCAUUUUGUUCAAUCAAUGUUUAGACGAAAAAAUCUGAAAGGAUAGUCUUUAACUUAGACUCUUCCUUCCUAGCUAUUUCACCCUUUAAACUUGGUAUUUUCUAAACAAUAGUCAUGUUUCAGGUCCCUAUAUUAUUUAGAAAUUUUCCAAAGUAAUGUGCAAAACUUCUUUCCUGAAAGUUUUAUUAGUUCGUUAAUCAUUAUUCCUAUGCAACAUGUUUGCAAAAAGAUCAUAACAAUGGAUAAGAAUAAAGCUAGCUCUGAUCAUAAUUCAAAUAAAACAUCAAAGAUGGCGAAAGAAAGGUAACAAAGAAGUGGAUUGAGAAUGUGCGUUUUCACAAAAGGAAAGGAAGAAAGAAAAUAAAAAAAUGUAUUUUCAAGAAUACACAUAAGAACUAGGUGCCCCAGUUAUCGCCGCUUGAGUUUCUCUGUACAAACUUUCCGAAGGCCCUUCUGAGUUUGACAUGUGUUCAGGAGAUCUGCAAUACUCUGUCAAUGUUCCAAGACGUUGCAUAUCCUUCCUUAUUGGUAAAGCAAGAUCAUCAUAUGCCCCUGAUCAAAAUUUGAUCCACUCAAGUCCUGAUGUUCCAAUCCUGCCCAAUACUUGAGUCGCCCUUUUCGGGUUUUCGACUCAAGCCCAUCUUUGGUCUCAAAGUGCCCUUUACGGGUUUUCACCUUAGCCUCUCCAAAGUCCCCUUUUUUUUUUAGGAAGCAAAGCGCCCUUUACGGGUUUUCACUUUGGUUCCCCUUUCUUUCAAGUGAAGUAUUUCUUGACGGAGUCUGCGUUUACAGGAUUUGGUAAACUUUUGCCAUCCAUCUCGCAUAGGAUCAAAGCUCCACCGGAAAAGGCCUUCUUUACAACAUAAGGGCCUUCCCAAUUUGGCAUCCAUUUUCCUCUAAAAUCUUUUUGCAUAGGAAGAAUCUUUUUUAGUACCAAGUCCCCUUCACGAAAUUCUCGGGGGCGAACCUUUUUAUUAUAGGCUCGCAUCAUUCGUUUCUGGUACAUUUGCCCAUGGUGAAUAGCUCUUAGCCUCUUUUCUUCUAUUAGGUUCAACUGAUCGUACCGAGAUUGGAUCCAAUCGGCUUCAUCCAACUGUAGCUCAGAUAACACCUGUAGAGAAGGGAUUUCAACUUCAAUGGGUAAUACUGCCUCCAUUCCAUAAACCAGAGAAAAAGGCGUUGCCCCAGUAGAAGUUCUAACAGAUGUUCGAUAGGCAAGGAGAGCAAAUGAUAAUUUCUCAUGCCAAUCCUUGUAGGUUUCAGUCAUUUUCCCCACAAUCCUUUUAAUGUUUUUAUUGGCCGCCUCCACUGCACCGUUCAUUUUGGGACGAUACGGCGAUGAGUUAUGAUGCUUAAUUUUAAAUUUUCUACAAACUUCAGCUAUUGUGCUAUUAUUCAAGUUCAUCGUAUUGUCGGAUAUGAUCCUCUCAGGCAUUUCAUAUUGACAAAUGAUCUCCUUCUUCAAGAAUUUGCUGACUACUGCUUUCGUGACAUUUGCAUAUGAAGCAGCUUCCACCCACUUGGUAAAGUAAUCAAUUACUACGAAGAUGGAGCGAUGCCCAUUAGAAGCCUUUGGUGAUAUUGGCCCAAUAACAUCCAUACCCCACAUGGAAAACGGCAAAGGAGAGGUCAUGACGUGAAGAGGUGAAGGAGGCGCGUGUAUUUUGUCUCCGUAAAUUUGGCAUUUGUGGCACUUCCUGGCAUGAUCAAUACAAUCUCCUUCCAUGGUGGGCCAAUAGUACCCAAAUCUCAUGAUCUGUCUGGCCAUCGUGAAACCACUGGCUGCGUCCCACAAAUACCCUCAUGGACUUCUUCCAAAAUUUUCUUGGCUUCCACAGCAUCCACACAUCUUAACAGUACUUGAUCCUUCCUUCUUUUAUAUAACACUUCUCCAUCUAAGACAUAUUCAAUGGCUAUCUUUCUCAGAGUUCUUUUGUCAUUCUCUGUCGCUUGAUCAGGGUAUUCCCGAUUCUUCACAUAUUGUAGGAUACUCUGAUACCAAGGACAAUCAUCUUUUCCCUCCUCCUCAAUAUUACAGCAAUUAGCCGGGGUCUCAGAGAUACUCAUCUGAACAGGCCUCAUUGCCUCAAGUCUAUUCACCUGAAUCAUCGAAGCUAGAGUAGCUAAUGCAUCAGCCAUUUGGUUUUCCUCCCGUGGGAGGUAAUAGAAGGUGAUAUCGUCAAACUCCUCAGCCAAUUCAAGAACUAGUUUUCUAUAGCCGAUUAGCUUAGGAUCUCUAGUCUCCCACUCCCCUUUGAGUUGGUAUAUCACCAACGCUGAAUCCCCGUAUACUCUCAGUACUUUGAUGUUCCGUUCAAUGGCUGCACGAAUGCCCAUAAUACAUGCUUCAUAUUCUGCCAUGUUAUUUGUACAAUCGAAGUCCAACUUGCUAGCAACAGGAUAAUGAUCUCCACUUGGGGAUACCAAAACUGCCCCAACUCCAUUACCCGUAGCAUUUGAAGCUCCAUCAAAAUUUAACUUCCAUACGUGAUCCAUUUGAGGAUUUUCUUCAGUAUUCGCCACAUACAUCAAGUCCUCGUUUGGAAAAUCGAAAUUCAAAGAUUCAUAGUCCUCCAAGGCUCUACUAGCUAGGAAAUCAGCUAUUGCACUUCCCUUUAUGGCCUUCUGACUGACAUAUACUAUAUCAAAUUCUGAGAGCAAGAUCUGCCAUCUAGCCAUUCUCCCGUUCAAAGCAGUCGAUUCCAUCAUAUAUUUUAAAGGAUCUAACUUUGAAAUCAGCCAAGUCGUGUGAUACAACAUAUACUGCCUCAGUCUUCGGGUUGCCCAGAUUAGAGCACAACACAACUUCUCAAUUGAUGAGUACCUCAUUUCGCAAUCGGUAAAUUUCUUACUGAGAUAGUAUAUUGCCCUUUCUUUCUUUCCCGUCUCAUCAUGUUGGCCCAAUACGCAUCCCAUGGAAUUCUCCAACACUGUUAGAUACAAUAUCAAUGGCCUAUCUGGACUUGGAGGUGAUAAGACUAGAGUAUUAGCCAAGUACUGCUUUAUCUUAUCGAAAGCCCUCUGACACUCUUCAUCCCAUUCGCCCGGAUUAUGUUUCUUUAAGAGCCGGAAUACUGGAUCACAUUUCUCUGUCAGUUGUGAGAUGAACCGAGCAAUGUAAUUCAGCCUCCCUAGGAAACCUCGAACCUCCUUCUGAGUGCGCGGGGGAGGUAAAUCUCGUAUUGCCUUUACUUUGUCUGGGUCAACCUCGAUCCCCUUUUUGCUAACUAUGAAGCCUAAUAACUUCCCUGAUCUGGCUCCAAACAUGCAUUUGGCCGGGUUAAGCUUGAGCUGAAAUUUCUUUAAUCUCAAAAAUAACCUUUUCAAGACCUGAACAUGCUCUUCUUCCGUUCUAGACUUCGCGAUCAUAUCGUCAACAUAGACUUCGAUCUCCUUGUGCAUCAUGUCGUGAAACAAAGUCACCAUAGCUCUUUGAUACGUUGCUCCCGCAUUCUUCAAUCCGAAGGGCAUUACCUUGUAACAGAAUGUUCCCCAUAAGGUAAUGAAUGUGGUUUUCCUCAUGUCUCCAGGAUGCAUCUUUAUUUGAUUGUAUCCAGAGAAACCGUCCAUGAAAGAAAACAAUGAAUAGCCCGCCGUGUUAUCUACCAAAGUAUCAAUGUGAGGCAGUGGAAAGUUGUCCUUUGGACUAGCCUUGUUUAAAUCCCUAUAAUCCACACACAUUCGUACCUUUCUAUCUUUUUUGGGAACAGGGACAAUGUUGGCUACCCAAUCCGAAUACUUGACCUCUUGUAAGAAACCAGCGUCGAAUUGUCUUUUGACUUCUUCUCUUAUUUUCAACACAAUGUCAGGUCUCAUUCUCCUAAGCUUCUGUUGAACGGGUUUACAAUCCUCCUUUAUGGGCAGACGAUGCACCACAAUGCUAGUACUUAGCCCAGGCAUAUCUUGGUACGACCACGCGAAAACAUCCUUGAACUCUCGGAGCAAAUUAAUGAGGUCUUGCCUUGUCUUUGCGGUGUUUUCAGUUCCAAUUUUCACCUCCUUUCCAUCCUCUAGGCUCACUAUUUCUAACGAUUCCCUAUGAGGUAGGAUAUGCUUAUCUUCUUGUUCCAUCAUUCUUAACAAGUCCGGAGAUGCAUCAUAAUCUUCGUCAUUUUCAAAGUCGUGGGAUCCCUCUGAACACACUUCUUGCUCAAAAAUAGGCUCCGUGUUUGAGGCAGUGUCACUCAUGUCAUUAAUAUCUGAAGACCUAUGAGGGCACAUCAAAGAAUAUACCAAGAAUAUAAAUUUAUGAAUAUGUUUGUGCAAAAGAAUUACAAAUGAAAGAAUUAUUGGUAAGACAAUCAACCAAAUGAAAAAUAUGAAAGGAAAAAAAAUGACUGAUCGAGAUGAACGUAGACACGUAUUUCAUUAAAAUAAUGAUAUUUAGGCCCAAUGCCUAUUUCACAAAAGAUUUCAUAUCGUUUCUAGGCCAACAAACAACAGGAAUGUUUUGAGCAUUACUCUGAAUAAGCCCUAAAGACUACAGGGAUUUCUUCAGCAGUCCAAUUGUUUAGCUCGCUUCCAGGCUUAUAAGGGCAGAUCUCCAACAAAGCCCUCCUUUCUGUUGCUUCUAUGGCGUUGGUAUAAACGUUUUCCAACAUUCCUCUCAUGCCGCUACCGGACACUCCAUAUUCAGAAUGAAUAAAUCCUCCCGACACAAAAGAUGUAGAUAUGUGGGGAAAGGUUAAAGGCUCACACUUAGCUUUAUGUCCAUUCAAACGCGCUCUUCUUCUCUCUUCUCUCUUCUCUACUUCUUUCUUCUUCUGUUUCAUGUCUGGAUUGUACCCUAAACCAAAUCUAUCAAACUUUUCCUUCGGCAUUGGUGCCUCAAUCCUUCCCUGAAGAUAUUUUCCCAAUCCUUUCCCGGGUAAGGCUCCUCUUCCUACCAUCAAUCGCAAUCCCAUCUCAGUGGUCCUGGAUAUUUUCGGUACUAGAAUUCUAUUUCCCUCCGCAAUAAACAUCGCGUUCACAAAUUCUAACGACCGAAAAGAACUUUCUAGUGCCUCAUCGUUGAUGUCCACAUAAGGUGCAUCGCUAGUCAUCAUUGCGAUAAUAUCCUCCUCUGCAUCUAUUGUUACCAACCGAUCCUCCGAUACCAACUUCACCUUCUGAUGUAAUGAUGAAGGUACUGCCCCUGCUGAGUGUAUCCACGGUCUCCCCAAUAGACAGUUGUAGGAGGGUUUAAUAUCCAUUACCAAGAAAUCCACCUCAUAAGUGACUGGGCCAAUCCUUAAUGGUACCUCAAUUCUCCCCAUAACCUCUUUUUUUGUUCCAUCAAAUGCCCUUACUAUGCUCUGGCAUGCUUUCAUGUGCGAACUGUCUAUUGGUAAUCGACUAAGAGUGGACAAAGGUAAUACAUUUAGUGCAGAUCCAUUAUCAACCAAGGCCCCCGGGAGUGUGUACCCUUUGCAUCGGACAGUAACAUGCAGGGCUUUAGUAGAACCUCUUCCCCCGGAUGGUAUUUCAUCAUCACUGAAGAAGAUAAAAUUGUCAGCACCAAUAUUGUUGAUCAGCCGAUCCAGCUUGUUUACCGAAAUAUCGUCAGCCACAUAUGUUUCGUUUAGCACCUUUAAUAGUGCAUUCCGAUGUACUUCUGAGUUUAAGAGUAAAGCUAAUACAGAAAUGCGGGCUGACUGUUUGUGCAGUUGCUCCACAACACUGUAUUCACUGUGUUUCAAAAACUUCAAAAACUCCUUUGCCUCCUCUUCUUUUAUUGGUUCAUUUACCAAUGGUUCAACUUCUACUGCUUUCCCUUUCCUCUGUUCUUUCUUCCAAUUCUCUUCCCUGGACGACUCUGCUUGAGCGUCAUAUCUUUUUCCAUUGCGCGUGUAAGAACCUAUUUCCUGAUUUCUUUCUGCUUCUUUUCCCAAAAUGGUCACAUUACACCCGUAAUUCCACGGCACCAUUUUGUUAUCCCUAUAAGAGAAAUUUGAUGGUUUCUGGAUUACAAUUUUCGGUGUUACCUGAGCCCUAACCUCAUUACCCUUAGGGCGUGAGAUAAUGACCACAGGAUGAUUUAUUUUUGGAGCCUUUGUUCCCAACUCUGUCGCGCAUAUGCUCCUCAUUUCUUUCGCAUCUUCGUAAAACCUCAUCUCCUUGUUAUCCAUCAUGCUUUGAACCAAAGCCUUAAAUCCUUCACAUUCUUGGAUUUCGUGCCCUGUUUUAUGGUGAAAUUCACAAUAAUUUCCCAUCUCAUGCCCUUCCUCAGAAUCUGAAAUAACCAAACCUCUUUUCACCAUUUCUUUCCAGACCCGUUUCAAUGGAGUUUUUACUUCAGCAAUGUCAGUCUUGGCUUCUUCUCCCGUACCUUCUCUAACCAUAUUCACCCCUUUAUCUGCGUGAUUAGGUAACGGAUUCUUUGCGUUAGGUGAGUCGUCAAGUUUGACGACACCUAAAUUGAUAAGUCCUUCUACUACCUUCUUGAAGGCAGUACAAUUUUCUAUCGAGUGCCCAGAAAUUCCCGCAUGAUAAUCACAUUGCGCGUUCAUAUCAUACCAUUUUGGAUACGGGGGUUGUAGAGGACUCAAGUACCGAGGAGCAACAACAUGUGCAUCGAAUAAAGUCUGAUACAACUCCUUGUAUGACAUCGGGAUUGGCGUGAAUUGGGGCUUUUCAGUAGUUUGCCUAGCUCCCGACUCUUGUCUUGAUGAUCCCUGUUGAUUAGCAACCACUUUUUUUGGUUGAUUCACGGUAAUUGACCUACCAUAAGCAUUCACAUUAUUCACUUCAUUUUCUCUUUUCCUCAGGGGUGCCCUCCUAUUAUUUUCUCCUCCAUCUAUUUUUCCACUUUUAAUGGCAUGCUCAAUCAUUUCACCAUUCAUGAUUAUAUCCGAGAAAUUUUUUGAAGCGCUUCCCAACAUGUGAGUGAUGAACGGGGCUUUCAAAGUAUUAAUAAAAAGCGUCGUCAUCUCUUUUUCCAAAAGCGGUGGUUGCACCUGAACUGCCACCUCUCGCCACCUCUGCGCAUAUUGUCUGAAGUUUUCGUUCGAUUUCUUCUCUAAAUUUUGCAGAGUUAUCCUGUCAGGCAUCAUUUCUAAGACAUGAUUGUAUUGUCUCAGGAAAGCCUGUGCUAAAUCCCUCCAAGUAGCAAGUUUAGCUCGGCUCAGCUGAUUGUACCACUUUGAUGCCGCUCCCGUAAGACUUUCCUGAAAGCAAUGUAUUAAUAAUUGAUCAUUAUUAAUAUGCCCUUUCAUUCUUCUACAAAACAUAGUAAUAUGGGAUCCUGGGCAACUAGUCCCGUUGUAUUUCUCAAAUUCCGGCAUCUUAAAUUUGUAAGGGAGCACCAAGUCCGGAACCAAGCUCAGAUCCUUUGCAUCUAUUCCAUAGCUUUCGAUGCUUUCUAUUGCCCUAAACUUCUCUUCUAUCCAUUUCCAUUUCUCCUCAAAUUGUUUUGGAAAUUCCUCCUUCGCCUUGUCCUUUUCAACCAUCUCGUCAAGAUCUGGGACAGCAAUAUUAUUCGGGCUAUCACCGGGAUUAAGGCCCGCUCCGGGUUGAAAAUUCAUUGGGAUUGAAGCAUCGCCUUGGAACUGCUGGGGCCUAACCGACACAGAGGGUCUCCGCAGAUGCAGCUCAGUCUGUACUUGCGCAUGCGGAGGCGUGAAACCUGGAGGAUAAAGUGGUUCACCAUUGUUUUCUUCUUCACUAACAAUCACAGGACCUUUACCCUUAUCUACUCCCUUCAAUAAUUGCGUCACCUUAGCCACCAGAUCAUUUUGGGACUCCUCCAUCUUUUGCACCAUGUCACGCUGAAUCUUUUCUAUUUGCUCUUUCAUUUGCGCCUGCAACUGGUCUUGCAUUUCUCUUUGAAGUCGCUCUAGCUUCUCCAACCUUUGGUCCAUAAUUUUUGUCUUAGCUCGGGUGCCAUAACUUUGUUGGUUUUCCAGGUUAACUGAAAUGAUUUUAUUCGAUUAGGUUUUUAAUGGUCAUUAAUGCAUGUGAUGUGAUGCAAUGCAUGAAAAGAAUGCAAAGAAAAAAGAGGCACUGAUUCUAAUUCAACUUCAUUAGAAAACUUUACUAGAUAAAGAGUUUCUUUACAUAAAAUAGACUACAUAUAUGGCUUUGCCCUCACACUCAAAGCCUUAACCUUUCUAAGAAGCCAAGCUAAUUCUCGGCCCCUGUCCGACUCUGACUCAUACUUCAAACUUAAUAGAUCAGCCUGAACCGCUAGAGUUUACAGAUGAUCAGCUACUUCGCGCACUUGAGUCACCGCCUCUCCCAUAAUAUAAUUUCUUUCUCCAAUCUGCUCUUGAGACCGACGGAAUUGUCUUUGCCACUGCUCAUUACUUUCUUCCAGAAGCUCUAUCCGGAUUUCACUAUUUUGCAAUGCGUUCUCUAGCCCUCCUAUUUGUCUUUUUAAUUCUUCAAUUUUGUCUAAGCUCGCCCUUAAUUCAACCGUAGCAUUACGAUUACAGUACUGGUGAAGCGAUCUUUCUAGUUCAGUUAUCUGGACCUUCAACUCCGUCUUCUCGUCUUGGCAAACUAGUAGACUCUUUCCCAAGGCGACCUCUCGAGCCCGAGUAUCCUGAAAUUUCUUUUCCCAUUGAUUAGCUUUCGUCUUUUCCUCCUGAAUUUCUUGUCGCCAUUGUUCUGGCGUUUUACCCAAGCCAGCAGCUCUUACCGACCUACGCAACUUCUUGUAAUCUGUCUUCAGGCUGUCCAAAUCUUCUUCUGCUUUGUUCUUUCCUUUUCUCAAUUUGUUGGCCUCUAAUCUUUGAAUGUCCACAUCCAGUCCUAACUGCAUUUUUUCUUCCUCUAGUUGUUCUAUCUUCUUCCCCAAUUCUAAACUCCUUUUUUCGAAUUCUUGUUUGAUGAUUUCUAUCUCAGAAGGCAAAACUUGUAAGUGUUCCUCUAAAGAUCGAGCAGUUUCUGAAUUUGACGCCGGGAUGUUGUCGUUGAUCCUUUGAUCACGCCACUGACCAUACUCGGGGGUAAUUGUCGGACCCACGGCUAAGAUCUUCAUUCGACGAGUCUGGUUCCAGGCACUAGAUAUUUCUCGAACCUUCUUCUUGUAAUUGUCCUCCCUAUAGGAAAAAUCACUAUAAGCCAACCCCUGGGUUGCUGGUAUGAAUUGUCGUGAUCUAUACUGUCUUGAUACGAGUAGAGGAGCAUAUCCGAUAGCUCCCCAUAUCCCGAGCAGCGGAACCCAGUCAAAAUCUCCACAUCGGUACAAUAUCUCAUCAGGAAUUAACCAAGGAGCCCUCCAUUCAAUAUCUUCAUCUUGGAGAUUCUGGAGUAUCUCUAUCCAUUUUUCUUCUGAAAUAUCAUCCCGUCUUGGCGUGGCCACCAAUUCUCCUAGAGGGGAGUAGCUAUCGGAGAAUACCCGAUAAGAGACCUUUUCGACUUUCCAGAAGUGGCUAUGGAACCAUGCCAAUAAGAGCUGCGCGCAUCUAAUAAACCUUCCCUCCCCUGCUUUUCGACACGCAUUCAAGGAUCUAAAAGUUUCAGCGAGUAUUGCCGGAACCGGUGUAACCCCUUUACUAAGCCGAUCAAACAAAUCAGAUACAGCCUCGUCUAUGUGUCCUAAAGCUUUGGGGAAAACCACUAGUCCAUAGAUACCUAAAGCGAAGACAUCGAUCCUUUUCUUUAAGUCAGGAUGUACAAGCACCAAAUCUCGUAACCUUUUCCAAGGAACACAUUUACUGUCGCCCUUCUGUUGGAUCCGGGCAGCGACCCACUGCUCGCUCAUCCCAGUGAUGUUCAUUAAUUUCUUUAACAACGGAGGGACACAAGCAGCUCUGGAAUAAGCCUUGUCGACUUGAAUCUUUGGGCACCGAAGCAAGGUCGUAUACUCCUCCACAGUAGGCGUCAAAUCUACCUUCCCAAAAGUGAAACAACUGUAGGCAGGAUUCCAAAACUGAGCAAGGGCUCGGAAUAAAUACUUGUCCACUUUGACACUAAGCAGAUAAGGUAGGUCACCGUAGUUAUAAUAGAACAGCUGCUUGGCCUCGACAUCCCAUUGAUCCCAGACUUCUUUCAUUUCUCGAAGGUCAUUCUGGAUUACACUGAUACGGGUAAAAUCCCACAAUUCUGACACGUACCCUUCGGUAAGACUAUCGCCGUUCUCCCGUUGUGUCGUUUCAGCCCAUAUUCGCACAACCGCAUUAUCCUCUACUUUAUCAACAAACCCCUUUUCCAUGAUAAGCUUUCUACCAAGAAACUGAACGUAAAUCGACACCUCUUUUAGAAUGAAGAUGCCAUGCAAUCACAAACAAAGUAAAUUAGCAUUAAACACAGAAUAAGAUUUAAAAUAAGCGACAAAUAAAUACAACAUUCAUUUAGGUAAGCACUAAAAAUUUAGAGUAGCUCUACCUAGGUCGGUUCCUAUGGCUCAUUACAUGUGGUUUGGUUCUAAAGUAGGGUACCUGAACCAGCAAAUUCCUCGAUCCUCACCCAUUAUAGGCUCAUACGGACCAAGUUCGAUUCAGGGGGAUACAUUUCCCUAUGGCCAUGCGGAGAUGAAAAUCUCACGAAGACAUAGGUACGGAUAUAUCCCGAAAGCGAUUCACUAUCCCAUGCGGAGGUGAAAACCUCACGAAGGCGUAGCUUCUCACUCCCACCUAAAAAGGUGUGACCAACGGUCAUGCAAUGCAAUGCGGAAAGAUACCAAAAUUUAACAAACAGAGCAAUUAUAAACCCUAAUGAUGAUGAUUAUGAUAAAGACAGAUAAAAUGCGAUGAAAGGAUCGUAAUUUUAAACCGAAUUUUCAAUUUUUGACAAAAGACAAAAAGUAAUCACCACGUGGCUUGACCCUCUUAACCUUUCCCCAGUGGAGUCGCCAAGCUGUUGACACCAUUUUUUUGAUGAGAAACGGGUCGACUUGGGUUUUGAAAAAUGAAACGGGAGUCGUCACCAAUCCCUUUUUUAUGAGGUGUGAUUGGAUCACCUCGAAAAGUGGUUGUUUUUAAUAAACGAUUUGAUUUUAUUAAAACAACAAGUUUGGUCCACGAAAUUCAAAAAAAAUGGGUUCGGGAGUCAGUUACGUACGAGGAAGGAUUAGCACCCUCGUAACGCCCAGAAAUUGGUACCUAGCUGAUUAGUUAAUGUCUUGAUGUCGAAAAUCGAGAACUUAGAAAAAUUAAGAAUACGAUCCUUGUAUUAAAUAAAAAUUUGGGAAAAGAAGCAUAUUUCACAUUAAUCGAGAAAGAGAAUCAUAUCCAGUAAGUUAGAAUACAAUGUCUCAAAUUCCCGAUACACGAAUGGAAAAUGCUUAUUUAAAAGAUAUUUUAGCCAUCUCGGAUUUAAAAAUGAGAUCACGACCAGUAAGUUAGGACGCGAUUUUUUUCUUAAAAUCCCGAGAUCAUUUAAAACUUGAGUUUAAAAAGAUUCGUCCAUUUAGAUUUAUCGUGAAAAUCGAAACCCAGUAAGUUAGAGUACGGUUUUCUCGAAUCUAAACACGAAAUAUUAUUUAUUCAAAACAAACUUGUUAUAUCGAAUAAAAUGAAAUACGAAAAUCGUAGGAAAAAUACGAAAGCCAAUAAAAUCAUAAUGCACGCAGAAAUGUAAAAAUAAUACGAACAAUAGCGACAAUAUAAUAAAAAUCAUACUUACAAUCAUAUAAAAUAACAAUAUAUAAACAAAUAAAUUAAAACAUUCAUUCAAAAUAAUAAAGAAAAUCAAAUAAACAAACAAACAAAUCAGAUAAAUAAAAUUAUAAAAAAUGUAAAAAGUUGUAUGUAUGUAUGCGGAAAAUAUGAAUCAUAUAUGUAAAUGAGUAUGUAAAUAUAUAUAUAUGUAUAUUAAGAUUAUAAAAUGAAUAAUAAUAUAUAUACAGGUAUAUGUGUAUAUGGACUAAAAUAUAUAAAGUAAUAUAUAUGUAUAUGAAUUUAAAAAGUAUAUAAAAAGGUAUAUUUUAAAUUAAAGAUUGUGUGUAAGUAUGUAUAUAUAUUUAUAAAAAUGAAAAUAUGUAUAUAGAUAUAUGGAUAUGAAUAUAAGUUGUAAAAUAUAUAUAAAGAAAAAUAAGCGUAUAUGUAAGUUAUAAUAUAUAUAUGUAUAUCAUAAAAUAUAUGCACAUGUAUAUAUGUAUAUAUCGAAAUUUGAAUUAAAAAGAUAAUAAUAAUAAUGAUAAUAAUAAUAAUAAUAAUAGGACUAAAUUAAAAUUGAACCAAAAUUUCCGGGCUAAAAUAAGAAAUAAAUUAAGGUACGGGAUCGAAUUGUGAUGCGCGCGAAAAAGGGGGGGACCAAAAUGGAAAAUAAGCCAAAGCCUCCCAAAACGCUGCACAGUAAUGGACCGAAUUGAGGCAAAAAUAAAAUUUUGUGGCGAAAUUGCAAAUAUGCGAAAAAUUUCCAUGAAAGCGCUACAGAAUCAAAGGGACUAAAUGCGCAAAUUACCCAAUAGUCAAAAACACGCGGAUCCUCCCAUUGGGUCGGGUUACCGCGCGGGUCAGAGACCAAAAUGACGUCGUUUUUGGUCUCUGAACCCAAAGCCCAAACGGUGCCGUUUUGUGGGGUUUUUUAAACCCAAAAUGUUCCCAAAAAUCUCAUUUCCACCCACCAUUUAAAAAAAAAAUUCAAAAGACCCUCUGUUUUCUCAAAAGGUCCGGCCCUUGGGUUCUCCUAGCGCCGCCGUUACGCCACCACGGACGGUGGUCGGCCUCGCGCAAAUAGGCACCUUACCCAUCCAUUUCAGGACCUUAUUGAAGGCCAGAUUUACAUGGCCUAAAGAGCCGAGAGGAGAGGCUUUGGAACCCAACUUUUAGGACCGAUCUUCGACGAGAAAUAACCCUCAAUCGGCGCAACCGAACGGCUCUCAGGUGAGUUCCCCUUUUUUUCCUUUCUUUAUUUUAUAUAUAUGUAAAUAAACGAAAAAAGACAAGAAAUAAAAAAUAAAAACGAAGAAGAGUACUCUUAAUCACCUUAAAACUUAGUUUGUAUUUUAUUUCUUUUUUGCUAAUCUCUGUUUUGUUACAAAGAGUACCCCCCCCUUUUCUGUUUGAAUGGCUUUUAAAUAGCCAUUUUACAAUUUUCUAUUGUCUCUACUACUGUUUUGUCCUUCUUUGCGUGAUUUUCUUCUUUGCAGGCAAGUGGAGUGAUGAGACGGUGGCAGAAAGCAGGUGAACGGCGGAGUUGGUGGCGGUGGCAGAGGGUAGGUGAUGGGGGCAUUGUAAUUGGGUCUGCUGGUAUGGGUUAGUGUUUAGGUGGGUUAUUGGGUUUGUGGGUAUUGGGUUCUUUUGUUAGUGGGCCAGGCAGAAAUUGGGUUUGUACACACAUCAAUAACAACAUUUCAAGCAUUUAAGAAUAUAAUUCAAGUUACACGAACUUACCUCGUUACUUGUUCGUGUUUACAAUUUCACUAAUCCGAUGUCUUUUCUUUUGCACGUUCAAGUCUUGUAUUUGAGUCAUUUGGAUCUUUAUAAAUAAAUUUGAUCAUCAUUUUCAUUCAUUUUAUAUUCUGAUACAUUCAAUUAAUGCUCUAGGCAAGAUUAUUAUUUUGCCCCUAAGCUUUUAAUUAAUGACGAUUUUUAAUCCUUAGGCUCAGAAAAAUAAAUUCUUGUAAUUUAAAUAAAUAAACAAUCCAAUUCAUGCAAUUUGGUCAUUUUUGACAUUUUUACAAAAUUAACCAUAAAGUUUUACUUUUAUUCAAUUUAGUCCCUGAGCCUAAAACGUGCAAAUUAUCCAUGCUAGCUGAAUAUUCAUAUAUAUAUAUAUAUAUUCCCUCCUCCUCCUCUCCAUUCCACAUCCUUAAUUUAUAUAACAUGCUUAUAAGUAAGAUUAUCUAUGAUUUCACUAUUUACUUGUAAAUUUAUUCAAAGUUGUCCAUUUGAGUCAUAGUCACUAAAUUAUUUUUAUCUUGAGAUACAGAACUCAAAAUAAGAAUCCAAAAAUUUUAUCUGAAACUAGACUCACAUAUAUUUUUACCAUAAAAUUUUCAGAAUUUUUGGUUUAGCCAAUAAGUACAGUUUAUUCUUUAAAGUCACCUCUGUUCUGCUGUCUGACAGUUCUGACCCUUCUUCACUAAAACUUAAUUAUCUCCUCGUACAGGAUUUGAAUGAUGUUACUGUUUGUUUCUAUUGAAAAUAGACUCAUUCAAGAUUUUAAAUAUAUAAAUUUAAACCCCUAAUUAUUUUUAUUAAAUUUUUUAUGAUUUUCCAAAAUCAGAACAAGGGAACCCAAAAUCAUUCUGACCUUGUCUCACAAAAUUUAUUAUAUCUCAUUAUUUACAAUUCCAUUACUUGCACCGUUUCUUCUAUGAGAAACUAGACUCAAUAAGAUUUAAUUAUAUAUUUUCUUUAUCCUCUAAUUAAAUUUAUUCGAUUUUUGGAAAAUUUUCAAAGUCAGAUUACUGCUGCUGUCUCAAAACUGUUUUAAUAUAAAAUGUUGAUAACUAAAUUUAUAACACUUUCCUUUCCUUUCUAUUCAAUAUUUUCUAUCACUUUCUAUUAUUUCCCUUUAAGAACAUAACAAUAAUAUAGAACCUUAUAUAAGGAAACUCUACAUUAACAUUAAUUUCCUACUUUUUCAAUGAUAUCAAACUAAAAAAUAUAUUGAAAUCUUAAUGUUCUUACCUUGUACUAUUGACUUCAAUCUUUAACUUGAUUUUCUCUCUCCUCCAACUUCUAUUUCUUGAAUCUAACUUGAUAUUCUAGCUCCCCAUUGUCUCCUUAAUAUUUUUCUCUCUUGGAAGCUAUGGAAAUUCUUUUGAUUUCUAGGUGAAAAUGGUGGAUUUUUGUUAAAAAGGACCAAUUUGUAAAGAAAAGAAAACUUUCUUUCUUUCUUCUUCUUCUCACGUUGGUGCAUGGGAAAGAUGAUGAAUUCUCUUCAUCUUUCCUCUCUUUUAUAUUAAUAAUUUAAUAAUAAAAUAAUACUAAAAAUCUUAAUAAAAUAUUAAUAAAAUAUUAAUUAAAUAACAUUUAUCUAAUUAAUUAAUUAAAAAUAUCACCAACAUCAUCAUUUCCUUCUAGAAUUCUCUCUCUCUAAUUGACCAUUUUGCCCUUCAUAAUAUUUUGAAAUUUCGUCCUUGAGUCAUAACUUAAUUUGGUAAAAUUGCAAUUUAGUCCCUUAAAAUUCUUCACCUUUUCAAUUUGGUCCUAAUUCAUCCAUUUUCCUUAGUUUCUAGAUUAUUCCACCCUUAAAAUAUUUACACUAUUGAUCCUUCAACUUUUUCAUAUUUACACUUUAACCCCUCAAAUUUUGGGUAUUUACUCUUGGGCAACAAAGCUUUUCUCACUUUUUUGAUUUAAUCCUUUCUUGAAUUAAUAUGUCAUAAUAUAUUGCCCAAUGUUGACAUAACUCAAAAUUACCCUUUUUAUCACUUUAUUUUCUUAUUUUACUAUAUCAGGGAUAUUAUCUUACUAUAGUAAUUUUCGGGGUAUUAUAGUAGAUGUUAGUCAAGUUUGAAAGCUGCUCCAUACUCAAGACGAGGAUCGAACCCUCGACCACUGAAAAACAAAAUUUAACCCAACGCGAAGCGUGGGUGAGAAUCAUACUAGUAUAUCAUUAUUUUAAAGUGAUUUGUAAAAUUAACCCCAACAUUCAUUCAAUCAUGACUUUUAAAAAUAAAAAUUACAUAUUUAAAACACAAAUAAUAAAAAAAUGAAAUGUAUGAUUUGAAAUUAAUUAAUAAUAACACAUGAAAUAUGUACAAUAUUAAAAUGAAAAAAAUUAUAUUAUGAGUAAAAUGAAAUUAAAACAUGUGGAUUUAUCAUAUUAAGAGUAUUAAAUCCACUAUAAUUAUUUAUCAUAGUAUUGUUAUCAAUCUUGAGUUAAUGUCGAGUUGACUCGUGACACAAACUCAAUCAACAACAUUAUUUAUAUAUACAAUUAAUGGAGGUAAUAAAAAAUGCAUAACACAAUUAAAAUGUAAAUAUUAUAUUAAAAUAUAUUAUUAGUGUAAAUAGCAUGGGUUCAAAUCUCCUCACAUGAAUUUUUCUUUUGCUUUUUAAAGAAAAUAAAAAGACUAAAGUAUUCUCGAAUAAUAUUAUAUAUUUUUGUUAUGGAAGGGUAUUUUCAUAAUUUUCCUAAUUAAAUUGGUGCCCGAUUAACUAAUGACCCAACUCUGUUGAGAGCUUGAACAAUAGUAAAGAUUAGUAUGGUUUCCAACACAAAUGAUUUAAUUUAAAAUAGGUUUAAAUUUUUUUAACUAAUUUAGUAUUUUUUUUAAUUAAGAUUUAAAAAUAGUCUAGAUUUAUAUAUAUAUAUCAUUAUUUUAAAAUAAUUUUUUAUUUUUGAAAAUUAAUUCUACAUCAAUUCUAUCUUGACUUUUAAUUAUAACUAGUAUGAUUUCCAUCAAAACAGUUGGUAAGUCAAUUUUUUAAACUAAAUUAUAAAGUGAAAAUUUGAAGGUCAAAAUAUAUUCUAAGCCCUUAUAUUCUUUGUACAUUUGAAAUUUAAUCUUGGUAUUUUUAUUUUCAGGAAUUUAGUUUCUUUACUUUUCAGAUUUAAAAAUUUAGGUCCAAUUGUUAAUACCAUUAAAAUUUUUCUGUUAAAUUCGUUGGUGUGACAUAUUAAAUUUUUAAAAAAGGCACUUAGUAGCGAUGUAAUAAAAAUACGUUGUAAUAGACUUUAAAUCAACAAUGAACUUUAACUGUGCUGGCAAUUCUUAAAAAUUUAUGUCAACAAUGAACUUUAAUUCAACAUGAUAUUUAGACUAAAUAAUAACAUUAAAAAAGUUAAGGUGUCAAAUUAUGUCAAUAACUAAAGUAUAAGAUUAAAAUUUAAAUUUGAGCAUAGUAUAGGGACUAAAAUUAAAAAUUUGACCAUUGUUAUAUAAUCUCAAUAGAAGUAAAAGGUUAUAUAUUUCGACACAUGUAUACAAUAUUUUAAUCAUAAUAAAUAUUUAGACUAUCAACGAUAUUAUAAAAGUUAAGGUAUGAAAUUAUUUAAAAAAUUAAAGUAUAGGGAUUAAAUUUAAAAAUUCAGUAUAAUAUGUGAACAAAAACUAAAAUUUGACCAUUAUUAUAUAAUUAAAAAAAAAAGGGAGUAAAAGGUUGUGUAUUUAGACUAAUGUAUGCCAACAUUUUAUCUAUAAUGAAGUAUUUAGAAUAGACUUGGACAGGUGGUCCAUCCGACUCGAUUUUAUAUUAAACAAUUUACAAAAUAUCUUUAUUUUAAAAAUAUUUAUAAAAUAUAAAAUUUAAUGUAAAAUAAUAUAUAUUUUAUAUUUUUAUUUUAAAAUAAUGAUAUGAAAUUUAUACUGAUUAUGAUAUUAUAAAAAGUGACCACGUGUGUUUGAGUUUUGUGUGACUUGAAUUUAUUAUUAAUUCAAGAUGUCUCGAUAUUUUUUUCUUAAAAAAAAGUGAAGUAAUAAAUUAUAUAAAAAAAUGUAAAAAGUAAGGACACGUUUGGUUCGCUGUAUUGGACUAAAGGUGUAUUGGAUUAGAGGUGUAAUGGAUUAGAUGUGUAUUGAAAUAGAGGUGUAAUAACAAAUCAACUGUUUGGUUGAAUGUAAUGGAAUAGAGGCGUAAUAGUAAUCUUGUGUUUGGUUGAAUGGAAUAGAGAUGUAAUAGCAUAAUGGAAAAAACUAAAAUGACUAGAAUACCCUUAGCAUAAAUUUGUUUUGGUAAAUGAUUAUUGUUAUUGUUAUUUAAAUUUUAAUAAGAUUAUUAUUAUCAAUAAUAAAUAAUUUAAUCAUAUUUAAACAUAAUUAUUAUUAAAUAUAUUUUAAUUAAAAUAUAUAAUUUAAUAAAAUUCUUAAUAAUUAGCAGAAAUUUGUUUUGGUAAAUUAUUAUUGUUAUUGUUAUUUAAUUUUUAAUAAGAUUAUUAAUAUCAAUAAUAAAUAAUUUAAUCAUAUUUAAACAUAAUUAUUAUUAAAUAUAUUAUAAUUAAAAUAUAUAAUUUAAUAAAAUUCUUAAUAACUAAUAUUCUUAUAUGAAUUUACUCAAAUCAUAAUAUAGAUAAUUUAACAUAAUAAUUAUUAAAUAUAUUAAAUAUAAUUUAACAUAAUUAUUAAUAAUCUUAUGAUUUAACAUCCUUCAAUGGACUUCGAAGGUCCUUUAUAGUUUCAACCCAUAGUACACAUUAUUCAAGUUAAUCUCCAUAUUAUAUUUAUACAUAUCAAAGCUAUAAGCAACAUAGAAGCUAAUGAGGCCCCAUUUCCCACAAGUCCACAUGUAGAUCCUCGGCAAAGAGAAACUAAAGUUACAAACAACCUUACCAGCUAUUCAUGCAACAUUCACACACUUUUUGGACAGGCACCAGGAGUCAACCUGUAAAGAAAUGUAACUUCUUCAGCUCCUUCAACUCCAUUUCCUACUUGGCACGCCUUAACAAGAGCAGCACUCAUGAGAAGCACUCAAAACAGAUUUAACACGACCAUUGCAAAUUCAAUUUAACCCCGUUAUGCCAAAUUUGAUAGAAAAAAGCUUCGGCAGAGCAGCAUGGUUCAUUGAGAUCAAUACACUUUCUACUUUGCAAAUUAACAGCAUGCUUCAUGAGAUAAUCAAGUGAUCUACAAUUAAAAACAAAUUAAACAGUACUACUGCUGAAUAUAUUUAAUGAAACACUUGAAAAGGGACCUCAAAAAAAGAUUAUUGAUCAUAAUUAGAAAACUCAUUUCACCGAAUUUGACAGAAAAAUGCUUCAGCAGAAUCAACAACGGUUCAUUAAGAUUCAUACACUUUCAUCACAUAUUGGCAGCAUGGCUCAACAGAUAAUCUAUUACUGAUUAAACUUAAUCCAAUAACACAAACCCAUCAAAGUAAACCAAUCAAACUUAAAAUUUGACACGGUAAAGAAGGAAAAUAACCACUCAAAAUAAAAUGUGAAGCAGAAAAAAUCGUAAAACUACAUUCUAGUUUUGGUAAUUAAAACAUCUAGGUUAUCAACAAGUGCACAACCAUGUCAUUUACUUCCUUUGCAUGUGGCAGCAUCUGUUUAAGUUCCUCCACCUUGACGAGAAUAUCCAUGCCCCCCUUGCAGCUUCCUCUUUUGCUUGUUCGACAGCUGCCUCUUGAAGUUCAACUUCUUUCAUCAAGUUCAUAAUCGAUUGCAUGGUCUGAAACAAAAUUUUCUGAACCAAAAUCUCAUAAGUUAGCAGUUCAUCCUCCCAAAAUAGCAACAACAAAAAAAACAUUAGAAGUUCAAAAUUUCAAAGAUCAGUUCAUUCAUCAUGCUGCGAUCAACGAUAUAAUGGACUAAGUUCUAGUAUUAUUAGCAUUGCAUAGGAUCAUUCUCAAACCCAAACAACCUCCAAAGUUGACAAAAGAAAGUAACAAGUUUAGAGCAAAGAGUACCUUGUUAUCUUUAGCAUCUUCAAUGAUCUCUUCGAGUAGAUCAAUUCUACAUGUUUGACUUGAUCUACUAACAACAGUGUUGAAGGUCUCAUCCUCAACAUCACUCAUUUCACCAACGCAACCCUGCUGGGAUUUAAGCCCUACAAAAAUUUCUGGCAAUUGUUCUUAAGAGUAUGACGAAACCAGCAUGCUCACAGCAUUUUCUUCACCGACCAUGGUUCCAUUGAAUGAACUGCUUCUGCAUAAAUCUUUAUUAAAAUCCAUGGGUCCAUCAAAAUUUAACUUAUCAUCACUGCUGCCAUUCUCCAAAAGCGGGGCCGUAUCAUCAGCCGAGGUGAAUGGGGCAACCUGUGGCGUCCUCGGAAACCCAUCUUCAAUGUCUGUGGUUUGGUCUUAACUUGAUGAACAUGAGAAAUCAAGAACCAAAAGUCAAGGAAAAAACAUUAGAAGAUACAGUAAGAUCCAUUAAGGUUCAUGAUAACUAGUUUUAGAAUCAACUUAGAGAAAUUUCCAUUGAAAUAGAAGAAAUAACAUAUAGUUCACCCCUUUUUUAAACUCAGAAACAAUAAACUAUAUUAUAAUCCUUACUGAAGUUUGAUAGUUAAGCAAGUGAAAGCAUUUGAUAAUUCCAAAGCCCAGAACCCAAAAGAUCACAUAAAAGAAUUGCAUACAGCUCAUUUGACUGCAUUUAUCUUUCUUCCUCAAUAAAAAUGGAAAAGCAAAGAAAUUCUGAUCAGUCCUCUCAUAAAAAUUUUUAACUCCUAACAUAGUACUAGAUUCAUCAAGAUGAUGAUCGUGACAGUUUUUCCAGAGACUUCCACUUUAACACCAGAAAUCAAGUAACAAAAAAAUUAAAUUCCAACAAAAUAACAGAAAUAAGGGCAUGGGUAUUGACAAUUAAAGGGUAAAGAGAAAACCAAAAUCAAAAUUUGACCCAACAAAAUAGAAGAAAUGAAGCUUUUGGGAAUCACCUGAAAGAAGUAUAGUUAUAGAAUUCAACAUCCAAACACAUGAAAAGAAGUGAAGCAGAGGAGAAAAUGGUUUGUCCCAAACGAAGAGCCAAGCUAGCGCUAGUUCCCAAUGCCCCUGGCACUUGCUCCAUCAUCUUUCGAGUCAGCUUACCUCUCCGUUUCUUCAUCUUUAAAUUCCCAAACAAGAAAGAAGAAAACAGAGUUUCAAAGAAAGUGAAAGAAGUGGUCUUCGAAAUUCCGAAAAAUUAUGCUUGCAAAAAUGGUUCCACCUUUGGGUUUUGUUUCUAUGAUGAAGACCUUGGAAGAGAGAAAUAAGAAAAGGAAGGAAGUGUUUUUUCUUUUUAAAAUUCUGAAAAUAGGAGUUAUAUUGUUUUGACAUAGUUUCAUUCAUGUCUGUUUCAAUGUCUAUGAAACCCAUCUUCAAUGUCUGUUUCAAGAUUUGCAUAUAGACAGAGGGAGCAAAUCGGCAGAAAGGGUAAAACAGGGAGGGGAAACCGAAGGGGCAACUAAUCUGCAGAAAAGAGGGGGAUUAGAAAUCGGUGGUUUUCACCGAUUAGGAAGGUAAAGGAUUACACCCGUAUUAGCAAUACAUCAAACCAAACGAUGGAAUACCCGUAUUUUUGUGCUUUAUUUAAUGCACAUUAAGUUUCUAUUAAUGCAACAUUUAUGCUUUUUUUUCUUUUUUUUAUGAAUUUUUUUCUCCUUUUUCAAUAAAAAACAAGCCGAGCUAUCACACUAAAACAAAGGCUUAUCAUCCAACUGAACAAGAAGUUCACCCAACAAACCGUCUAACCAGGCAACUUCAGUAGUAGCAUGAGCUACAUAUUGUAUUAUGCUUCAGAUUUACUACGAGAGACUACCUGUUGCUUUUUGGAACACCAAUAAACUUGAUUUCUUGCAAAAGUUAAACCCUAGCUAGACGUUGAGCAUCGAUAAUCAACAUUAGGCCCCUAAUUAGCAUCAAUAAAACCACAUAUGGGCAUCAUCACACCAAGUUUAAACAGAAUGCCAUGACUAGAAGAAGCAGCUCGGUAUAGCAACACUUGGUUCAUAGCUUUGAAAUGAGUGUCAAGAGGCCUAUGCAUGAACUAACAAGUAUGAUUCAUAGUAAAUGUGAUUUCUGGUAUUGUAAUAACAACAUACUGCAAAACACCAACUAUAUUAUUAUAUAAUCCUUCAUCUCCAAUAGGACUACUGUAGAACCAGACAAAUUACAAGAACUAACCAUUGGAGUAGGAACUCCAUGUGCAUGUGCCAUGUGACUUUUCUCCAAAAGUUCUGAAAUAUACUUUUGUUGAUUGAGAAACAAAUCUUGGUUAGUAUAAGUAACCUCAAUGCCCAAGAAGUAGUGCAACCUCCCUAUCUCUUUUAGAGAAAAGGCUGUAUUGAGACUAUGAACCACUGAAUCAACAAUAUCAUUAUUACUUCUAGUGAUGAUGAUAUCAUCCAUAUACACUAAUAGAUAAGUGACAUCAGACUUAGCUACUUUCAUAAAGAGAAAGGCAUCAGAUUUUCCCAUAACAAACCUUGUGGAAACAAGAUAGUCUUUAAACUUUUCAAACCAGGCUCUAGGAGCCUGUUUGAGACAGUAAAAAGCCUUAUUCACUUGCAAACAAGUUAUUCCUUAGACUUUGUUUGAUACCUUGGUGGUUGCACCAUAUAUACCUCCUCAAGUAAAUUUCCAUUCAGAAAUGUGUUAUUGAUACCAACCUGCCUGAGCAUCCACCCUUUUAAAACAAAAAGAGAAAGAAUAACUUUGAUGGUCAUAGGUUUCACCACGAAGCUAAAUGUGUCUUUAAAAUCAAAACUUGUUACUUGAGAAUACCCAUUACUAACCAAUCAUGCCUUGUAUCGAGCAACAAUGCCAUAUGGAUUUCUUUUUAUUUUAAACAACUACUUGCAUCUAAUUGGCUUCUUUCCUGGUGGUAAAUGAGCCAAAGUCCAAAUGUUAUUCUUCAUUAGAGUAUCAUACUCACUCUAAAAUACUUUAUUCCAAUGAGAAUGUGCUAAUGCUUCUUCAAUAGAAUCAGACUCCCUGUUAUGAAGCUCAGUAGUACAAAAAUUUGGCUUAUAAAUCCUAUUUUUAGCCUUGGUCAUCAUAAGAUGAGAAUUAAGAACACAACCUUGAGAAGCUACUGCCUCAGUUUGCUCUUGUAAAGGAAUUUGAAUAUUUGUAAUUGGAACUUCAACAUCUGCAAUAGUAAGAACUUUUUCAGGGAAAGAAAGGAGAAGAAGGACCACCCACUACACUUGAAGAUCCAUUAAGAAUAGGUGAAGGUGAAGCACAAUCAAGACCAGCUGGAGGUGCAUUAUUAUUGAGACCAUUGCUUGUUGAAGAAGCAACAAUAGGACUUGAGUUGUCUACAGAACAGUCACUCACUGGUAAAUUCAAGAAAGAAACUUGCUGAGAUAAUGAUUAUACUCGAAACACCAUAGACAAAUGAGUAGAAGAAAUAAUAGUUGCUAAGGGAGAAGAAGGUCUAUUUAAAACAGAAAAGAACCUUCAUAAACAAAACAUGCUUGGAAACAAAAACCAUGCCAUUAUCAUCAAUACGCCUAUAACCCUUGUGAGUAGAACUGUAUCCAAGAAAUGUACACGGUUUGGAUUUAAACUACAACUUAUGUUUAUUGUAGGGUCUCAAACAAGGAUAACAAAAACAACCAAUGAUUCUAAGAAGACUAUAAUCAAGCUUAAUCUUGUAUAGAAUUUCAUAUGAAGAUUUAUUUUACAACACAGAUGUUGGUAAUCAAUUUAUAAGAUGAAUGGUAGUAACAAAUGCAUAGGAACAAAACUUGAGUGGUAAGUGAGCUUGGGCUAGUAAGGUUAACCUCAUUUUGAUUAUGUGGCGAUGUUUCCUCUCAGUUAUGUCAUUUUAGUUAGAAGUAUAAGGAUAACUCACUCUCUUUUAGAUGCCAGAUCAAGCCAACAAAUAAGUGAGAGGCCUAUAUUCUCUACUUUAAUCACUCUGAAAGGCUUUGAUUUUAGACUAAAACUGAACCUUAACAUACUUUUGAAAAUUUUGAAAACACUCUACAACUUGAGAUUUAUUCUUUAAUAGGUACAACUAUGUAAACCUACUAUGAACAUCCAUCAAGGUAACAUAUUACCAAUGACCAUCUGAUACCUUUGCAGCUGGCCCCUACAAAUCUAAACCCACUAACUUGAAUGGUAUAACAUUAGUUGUAACAAAAGUGGAAAAAAGGUAACUUAUGUGAUUUUCCCAACUAACAAGAUGUGUAAUCUGUAUUAUUACUUUUAAUAAUUUUAUCAACAGAGAUAUUAAAAGAUAGUAAAAGAUUUCUUAGAGCUUUAGUAGAGGGAUGACCAAGUCUCUCAAGCCAUACAUCAAAAAUAAUGAAAGACGAAUCUAAAAUUGCGUUGUUUAUUUCACCAUCAAGUAAUGCUACUAGUUUGACCUCGGCUUUUGAUAGGAUGAAAUGGGUUCAAACUUGUACAAGUCUUCAUGCAUGUGGCCUUUGAGUAUAGUAUAAUGUGUUUAAAAAUCCUUAACAAAACAAAAAUAGGUGUGAAAUUCAAAGAAUACAUCAUUAUCUUUAGUUAAUUGAGAUACUGUAACACCCCUAACCUAUAUACAUCGCCAGAACAGGGUUACGAAGCAUUACCAGAAUUUAUAGAUCAAUUACAGACAUUUCAUUUCAUUUGACAUUCAUAUCAUAAAUCAAUUAGAAUUUAUCAUACGGUCCCUUAUAUGAGCCCUCGAGGCCCAAAAUACACAUUAGAAACAAGUCAGGACUAAACCAAGUACUCAAACAAUUUUUCGUAAAAUAUCAAAAUUUUUCCAAGGUGCAGGGGACACACGCUCGUGUGGCCAGGCGUGUGGGCAUUCGAAAUAGGGGCACACGGCUGUGUCCCAGCCCGUGUCCAAAUUUAGUAUCUCACUGACUUGAGUCACAUGACCAAGCCACACGCCCGUGUGAGAAAUUUUGAGUAUUCUGUUUUGAAAUUUUAAAGAUGCAGGGACACACGGCUGAACCACAUGCCCAUGUGCUAGGCUGUGUGUUGAGACAUAUGCUCAUGUCUCUACCCGUGUGGACAAAAAUAGGCCAUUUCCAAGGCCACGUUCCUCACCCAAACUUGGCAUCAACCUAACAAACAUCUUUGGACAUCAAUAGACCAUAAUAAGACAUUCAACCAAACCAAAAUUUAAGCUUUAUGCUUAACUGUUAGAAUUGUGUGACCCAAAUUCUAAGAGAUUGCUUGCAAGUCAAGUUAAACAAAAAUAUAUUUUCUUUCUAGAAGAUUUAGUAUUUAUUAGUAUAAUAUAUUUAGCAUUUAUUAGUAUAGUUUAUUUGACUUACUAAUUUAGCCUAUAAAUAGGCUCCUUUACAAUCUUAGAAUUAAGAGACACCCAUUAGAUUAGAACUCAUAACACAUUCAGAGAAUUUUGUGUUUACGUUUGAGGGUUCUUUGUUUUUCAGGUUUUCGGGGUUUAGUUUUUAUCUCCAUCUUUUGUACUCUUCAUUCUUUUGCCAUUAUAGUAAAAUUAUCUUUGCCCGUGGUUUUUUAUCCUCUUUUGAGGGGUUUUUCCAUGUUAAAUUUGUGUGUUCAUCUUCUCAAUUUCUUCUACUAUUUUUACUUGUUCGUUGCUUAAUCGGGACGAUCCUAACAUUAACCUAUUACUACAACCAUUCAAUAUUCUUUACUUCCUAAUUUGACCAAAUACAUAUAUAAGCUCAUUUGUACCUAAAUUUACAAAAUUUAAACCAACUAACAACAUGUUAAUAAAUUAUCCAUCAUUUAGCCAUACUAGCACACAUUAAACAUGAUAAGGCCACUUACAUACACCUCAAAACAUGUCCAUCACAAGCCAUUCCAAUGGCUAGUUACAAUAAAAAUAUUUUCAUGCCAAUAUUAGCUAAUUAACCUAUACAUGCCUUUAUAACCAAAAUGAGUUUACUAUAUAUAUAUAUCGAAAAGGCUAAUGGAUAGUGUGAUGUAGCUCCGACCAGCUUCCAACCUUUACGAGCUUCCGAGUACUAUAAAAUAGGGAAAACAAAAGAAGUAAGCUUUUAAGCUUAGUAAGUUCAUAUAACGGGAAAUUAACUUACCAUUCAUUUACAUUUAAGAUAAGUAUACUAACAUAUUCCAAACCAAUUUGGCCAUAGCCUAACACAUAUCCAUAUCACAUUAGCCAAGUAAUCACAUGUAAUAAAUCAUAAUCAUGGAUGAACAUAGUCAUUUAACAUGUUUCACAUACUUGUAUCAGACAUAUCACACGUCAUUAUAUAUCAAAUAAUAUCAUUUCCAUAUAAUUUAGGUAUACACAGGUAAUAGUUCACUUUGAACUUAUGUUACUUCAUAUCAGUACUUUGCCCGUUGAACCAUUUUAAAUAUCGAUAGAUACACAAGUAGUACACAUGAAGUGUACAAAUCUGUAAUUCGUCAAUUCAUAUCUGGGAAUGCUUAUAUGAGCAAGUAAACGGGAAGCUCUUCCAAGCCAUAUAACGGGAAGCUCAUGUGAGCCAUGUAACAGGAAGCUCAUAAGAACUAUAAUCGGGAAGUUCAAGUGAGCCAGUAUCGGAAAGCUCUGGAGAGCCAUUAAUCGAGAAGCUUAUGAAAAAGCCUUUAAUUGGGAAGCUUGCAAGAAUCAUAUAACGGGAAGCUCGUGAGAGCCAAAUAUCAAGAUGCUCAUGAGAGCUAAUAACGGGAUGCUCUUUCGAGCUAUGGUGUGACCGCAACACAUACAGGACCACAAC
RNAcentral lists this long non-coding RNA (68021 nucleotides) under Gossypium barbadense (sea-island cotton). RNAcentral's name for it is "long non-coding RNA (GBAR_LNC022737)". Lineage: Eukaryota; Viridiplantae; Streptophyta; Magnoliopsida; Malvales; Malvaceae. The record is from RNAcentral.